Molecule: long non-coding RNA, 86158 nt
Filed under: Zea mays
Lineage: Eukaryota; Viridiplantae; Streptophyta; Magnoliopsida; Poales; Poaceae
Description: long non-coding RNA (ZMAY_LNC002269)
Source: RNAcentral
CAAGGAUGGCCUUCCAUGUUGAUCUUCAACGGCUCCUAGCUGCCUUGGGGCUAUAAAAGGGACCCCUAGGUGCAUGGAGGAGUACACCAAGCAUUCUCUGAGUAUUCUAAAGCAUCCAGACUUCGCUCCCGCGCAUUCGCUUCAUUGUGCUAGUGAUUUGGGCUCCAUUCGAGUAGUGCACUCUCUGAGUUGUCAUUUGAGCUCAAGUCGUCACUUGUGUGCGUGGUUGUGCUGCGUAUUUGAGUCUUGCGUGUGUUGCUUCUCCCAACCUUACUCUGUGCUUUCUUUGUGAUCUUUAUUGUAAGGGCGAGAGACUCCAAGUUGUGGAUAUUCCUCGCAAACGGGAUAAGACUCUAAAGGAAAAGACCGUUGUAUUCAAGUUGAUCAUCGGAUCACUUGAAAGGGGUUGAGUGCAACCCUCGUCCAUUGGGACGCCACAACGUGGAAGUAGGCAAGUGUUACUUGGCCGAACCACGGGAUAAAAUCGCGUGUCUCUUGUGUUGCAUUCUCUAUGAUUGUUUUGUCCACAAGAACUCGUCUCAUAACUACUUAGUCGCACUAACACUUCUAUAACUAAGUUUUGUGGCUAUUUAGUGGUUGAUUGUACAGGAUCACCUAUUCACCCCCCUCUAGGUGCUCUCACUUAUCCCAUUCAUAUUUUCAUGCUGGAAAUCAGUUUCUUUGAUUUUUGGUGGAUAUCAUUUCUUCAUGAAAAAUACAUAGGAAUUAGCCUUUGGUACUAUCAAAAAUGGUCAUUCGUGGUCGUUUUCAGCCAAAACUAUUGGUCGUGUACUCAAGGAUCUUUGGUGAGAGGUUCCUAUUACUUACCCCAUACAUAUUUCCUUGUUAACAUUUAGCUUCUUGUAUUUUUGGAAGAGACUUUAUUCAUGAAAAAUCCAUAGGUGUUAGCGUUUAGUAUUGUCGAAAAUAAACGUUCAAGCCUGUCAUGGGUGUAGUAAAUCCAAAGGACUCAUUGUUUAUGAGCAGAAACUAGAUAGAAAAAUAUUGUCUCAGCUAGGUACAUCCUAGUGGCCCUAGAAUGUCUGAGACUCAAUAGAUCUAGACAUCGAAAAACCUGAAGUUAGUAAACUAGCUAACAAAAAAAUGUGAAACAUGAAACCGGCCCGAGAUCAUGGGAUGUCCAAAAUCUACACAAGAAAAUGGAUUGAAGAAACAACACAUGCUUGAGUGUCUAGAUUGCCAUGUUUGACAUGUCGGAACCAACAAAAGUCUAGAAAUCAUAAUCCAAAAGGAGCAAAAGGAGUGGAACAAGAGUGAAGAUGAUUUUUUGUUUAUAGUUUACUUUAUUUUAUAUAAGAAUUUAAUAAGGGAGUUGAACAAGAGUGAAUGUGAUUUAUUGUUUAUAGUUUUUAAAGGGCAUGGAGUUGAACAAGAGCGAUGUUGAUUUGAUGUUUAUAGUUUUUAAAGAUGAUUUGAUGUUUAUAGUUUUUUAUAAGGAAAUAAGUAGGGAACUCAUGAUGACUACAUGCUUUUGCUUUUCGUUUCUUUUUUUAUGAGAGGAGUGCAUGUCAUGCGUUUGUUUUGAACUUUUGCAUGAGAGGAAAAGAGCUAGGACCUACUUAUAGCAAUGGUAUACAUGUGUUAGUCUUUGAACUAGCUGGCCAGGGUUCUGUCAAGGAACAAAAAUAGCCGGCCAGCGAUGUCUGUGGCGUGCCAUACGUCAAUAUCUAGCUCCCUUGUGUCCAUUGUCCAUAAAUACAUGCUCAUCUGCAACAUCGAUCUCCACACACACACACACAUCCAUCAAAGAAACAGGCACACAAGAACAAAUACCUCGCCACCAACAAUGGCCUCCAGGUCCUCCAUCCUACUUGCAACGGCGAUGCUGGUUGCGCUGUUUGCGGUUGGUUUGUGCACCACCCCGCUCACCUUCCAGGUUGGCAAGGGAUCCAAGCCUGGCCACCUGAUCCUCACCCCCAAUGUUGCAACCAUAUCUGACGUGGAGAUCAAAGAGCACGGGGGCGAUGACUUCUCCUUUACGCUCAAGGAGGGCCCGACCGGCACCUGGACGCUCGACACCAAGGCCCCGCUCAAGUACCCCCUUUGCAUCCGCUUUGCUGUCAAGUCCGGUGGCUACCGCAUCGCCGACGACGUCAUCCCCGCCGAUUUCAAGGCCGGCACCACCUAUAAGACCACACUCAGCAUCUAAUCAGCCUCUGAUGAUGAAUUAUAUUUCAAAAGAGCUCACCUGGCGCUCACGUUAGCAAGACAAUAUUUUUUCUAUGGUUAUUUUGUGGCGCCAAACCACCCAAGAAAUAUGUGAUGCUACAUGUCCCUUAUGAUGCCUUGUUGUGUUGGGUUGAUAUUAUUACAUAAACUAAAUAAAUUAUUCAUUUAAGAUUUUAGGAGAAAUAUGUUGAUAUGGUCUACCUCCAAUUAAUCAGCUAAGGGCAUCCCAUUCCACCCUCAUGAUUGUACUGUUGUCCGAGGCAGUCUCUCAACGAACAUGUCCUUACGGAGAGGUACUCGGGAAACAUCCUGAGCCACCUAAAAUGCCAUAAGUUCAUAAUCAUAAUCAUAAUGAAUCAUAGUACCAUAAAUUAAUUCUCAUCAUGUUCAUUGAUUAGGGUAAAGCACUAGCAUGUAGCUGAUUAUAAUAACCCAACCCAAAAAGAUAAUCAAGGACAGGAUAAAUAGAAAUCUAGUCAAGCCUUAGGUUAUUCAUAGUAUGCAGGAUAGUGAAUUAUAAAGUAAAUAAGACAUAAAAGGUCAGAGGACACUUGCCUUCACCAAACUGUUGAUGCUCAGGGCUUCUCCUGCAAGUUCCUCCAACAACGCAGACGGAACGUUAUCUACGCGAGUGCGAACACACAUUCAACAUUCUUGUAACAGAAAGGAAUAGUACACCAUACAAGGGAAAACAUUAUAAACACGUGCAAUACAAAAUGGUGUUCGUUUCUACGGUCACACCAGAAAAAAGAAACGCUGAGAUCGAAGCUACGAUUGAGAAGUUAUUGCGUCUACGUUGUACAAAUAUGAAAUAGAACAUUUAAUUCGACAUACUUACAUUAAUCGACAUUUAUUAAAUGUAAACUAGAACUAUCGCCUAAUUUUAAUUAAUUCUCGUUACACAAGCAGCUCUCGGUUAAUUAAACAAUUUAAAUUAUAUUAGGGACUCUAAGUGAGACAAAUUAAUGACGCGAGAUAAAGUACGCAACGCGCGAAACAACACGUCAGCACGCGCACGGCGUGCGGACCAACACAACACAUAAGGACUAAUAAAUAGAUAGCAUGUUCAAACUAAACAAUUAUUAAUAAAGAAUAUUUCGAUUAAGGUUAACCAUGUUAUCGUUUAUUUAUAAAUGCGCAAAUCAAGACCCUAAUUUAGAUUUUAAAUUAGUAAGCUACAUUAUUAACCAUCGGUCAAACAAACAUUUAAAUAAAUUAAAUAAAUAUGUAAAAAGCAGAGAAUAAUGAUACAAACAUGUAGACAAUUUUAAUAUGAAUCUAACGCGACUUGAAUGGAGUGAAUCGGAUUUAAAACACAAAAGAUAUCACGAUUUUAAAUUGAAAAUCCUAUCUGCAUGCAGUUUUAAAAUUCCAAUGGGGUUUUUCGCAAAAAGACCAUCUACUUCCUCCCUCCAUCAUCUUCUCUCACCAUGGCAAGGAAGGGGAGGAGGGAUGGGGGCCGCGCAAGGGGGGGAGGGAAGGGAGAAGAGGAAGGUGCUGCGAGGGGGAGACUGAAACGAAGAAUUUCCAUACACAACAAUAGUGGAGGGCUCACCGGAGAAGACGACCUCGCCAGAGCCGAGGACAAAUUUGGCGAUUGACGAUGAACCGUCAGUUAGAUCGACGAAUCGAAGUCACUGGGACGAAGAUCUCGACGAGACGAAAACUGCGGUACCCUCAGAUUCCACCGACGACAAAAGUAAUUGCUCACCGAAGUUGUCGCCGUCCUGAACUUCGGCGAGCAAUUUCGGGAGUUUUAGAUCUAAGGGAACGAGUUUCGAAAUUCGAAAAGAGCUCCACGAGAGUAUUCCAGCCAUAUAUAUUUCUAGGGUUUGAAUAAAUUUUAUUUUCGUAAUUAUCCCAUUUUUAAAAUUACAGAUAAUUCCACAAAAAAGCUGAAAUCAUUUUUAAUGCUCGAAAAAUAUCUCGAUGGCUCUAAAAAUUCUAGGAAAAUUCCUAGACAUGUUUUGGCACCCAAUGAACUCAAAAACCAUAUUUAGCACUUUUGAAAAUGUUUUUAAGUAACUCAAAUAAAUGUAUUUUUAAUUUUAGAAAAUAGAAAAAUAUUCAUAAAAAUAUGAAAAUUUAUGGGAAACUUCUAUAAGACAUAUGAACAUGUUUCAAAGACUUCUUGCACUUAGAAACACUAUGCAACAGCAUGAAUGCAACAACCAUUACACUUCUAGAGCCCACGACAACAUAGAACAAAAUAACUCUCUAUUGUUUUAAUAAAGGGAAACACUACUAAAAAAUCACCCUAAUGCCACGACAGAUAUUGCAACAACAAUAUUUUUGUUGCUGUUGGGACAUGCUUCGUCACCGAAGGUCAUGCAGGAAGAAGCAGCUUCGGCUGAAGCUGUUUGUAUGAGAUACCGAAGGAUGCAGUUCAUGAAGCUUCGGAAAUGCAAACCGACUUAAAGAUAGAAUGACCCUUUAGCCCAUAAGAGUUCGAGUCAUUGUUGUAAACUUUUAUGAGGGGUAUGAUUGUAAUUCCUCACAGGCUGGGUCCUGUGCCUAUAAAUAGUGAACAGUAUUCCUUUACUGUUCACGAUUUUCCGGUAUUUGCAAUCGCUUCACUCGGGAACCAAUCUUUGCCAAGGCAGAGGUAUAAUUGUAUUCAACACUUAAAUAUAAUGAAUGGAUAAAAUAUGGUUUAUUUAUGAUUCAUUUACCUUUGAUAUUCUAUAUUUUAUGUCAUCGUAUACAAUCUGUUAGAAUUCAAUUACGGAGAUAUGACCUUCGUAGUAAUUGUAUUGCUAUCAACCUUCGUCCAAGGCCCAUUAUCCCCAAGGGAAUAAUGCUUCGUUGGACGAAGAACAUUAGCAUUUAACAUUUUAUGUUGCCUUGUUCUUAAUUCAUAGCAUUUGAGAACAAGUUCCCAACAUUGGCGCCCACCUCCGGUGAACUCACUUCCACUUUUUCGAGCUGAUGGCUUCGUUCAACGAUCGAGCUGGAGCUGCUUCGGCUCCGAAGCUGGUGCUCCCGAUAACAGGUGGUUCGUGCUUAGAACCAGCCAACAAAAAGCAGAAGAAAGAGGCGCAGAGAAGGGUACAACAUGUUGGAGUGCAGGGACCCUUCAUCAAGUCAAGGUGGUCCCACAUUCCAAUCACCUUCUCCCAGGAGGACCUUCAGCUCAAGGAUUUUCCUCAUAACGAUGCUAUGGUUAUUUCUUGCGUUAUCAAAGGGUUUCUGGUCCACAAUGUCUUGGUUGAUACAGGCAGUGCAGCUGAUAUCAUAUUUGCUAAGGCCUUCAGGCAAAUGCAAGAGCCAGAAGAUAAGAUUCAUGAUGCUACACACCCUCUCUGUGGCUUCGGAGGAAGACAGAUUGUAGCACUGGGCAAGAUCACCAUGCCAGUGACCUUCGGAUUCAUCAACAACACCAGAACUGAGCAAGUUGUGUUUGACAUUGUUGACAUGGAAUACCCUUACAAUGCAAUUAUUGGUCAUGGCACCCUCAAUGCUUUCGAAGCAAUUCUUCAUCCUGCUUACCUUUGCAUGAAGAUACCUUCGGAUCAAGGACCCAUUGCUAUUCAUGGGAGUCAGGAAGCUGCCAGAAGGGCUGAGGGAAACUGGGCUGACUCAAAAGCAAUCCAUAACAUAGAUGGAGCUGAAGCUUGUGAACAGUAUAAAUUCAGAAGGGAGAAAGCAGCUUCAGCAGAUCAGCCGAAGCCCAUGCUCUUAUGUGAGGACAUAGCAGAGCAGAGGGUGCUGUUGGGCUCUCAAUUAUCCGAAGAACAGGAGAAAACCUUGAUAAGGUUUUUGUUCAACAACAAAGAUGUUUUUGCAUGGUCAGCCAAUGAUCUUUGCGGAGUUAACAGGGAUGUUAUUGAACACUCGCUCAAUGUUGACCCAUCCUUCAGACCCAGAAAGCAGAGGCUUCGGAAAAUGUCUGAUGACAAGGCCGAAGGUGCUCGUAAUGAAGUCAAAAGACUCCUCAUUGCAGGAGUUAUCAGAGAAGUAAAGUACCCAGAAUGGCUAGCUAACACUGUUAUGGUAAAAAAGGCCAAUGGCAAAUGGCGAAUGUGUAUCGAUUUUACAGAUCUCAACAAGGCAUGUCCGAAGGACGAAUUCCCAUUGCCAAGGAUAGACUCCUUAGUUGAUGCAGCAGCUUCGUCAGAGCUUAUGAGUCUUAUUGAUUGUUAUUCAGGCUAUCAUCAAAUUUGGAUGAAGAAGGAGGAUGAGCCGAAGACCAGUUUCAUAACCCCUAGUGGAACAUAUUGUUACCUUCGGAUGCCUGAGGGGCUCAAGAACGCUGGAGGAAGUUUCAGCAGAAUGACUGUGAAGGUUCUCCAGUCUCAGAUAGGCAGAAAUGUGCUAACUUAUGUUGAUGAUAUCAUUGUAAAAAGCACGAAACAGGAAAAUCACAUUUCUGAUUUGCAGGAGACCUUCGCCAGUUUUAGACAAGCUGGCCUAAAGUUGAAUCCAGAAAAUGUGUCUUCGGAGUAAAGAACGGGAAAUUUCUUGGAUGCUUGGUUUCAACAAAGGGAAUUGAAGCUAAUCCAAGUAAAAUUUAAGCUAUACUUCGAAUGGAGCCACCAACUACAAAAAAGGGGGCCCAAAGAUUGACAGGGAGGCUGGCAUCUCUUAAUAGAUUUAUAUCCAGAUCAGCAGAAAGAAAUUUACCAUUUUUCGAAGUGCUGAAAUCAGCCGAAGUCUUUCAAUGGGGAUCAAGACAACAAAAAGCCUUCAAGGAACUGAAGCAAUAUUUGAUAGAUUUAACAACAUUAACUCCACCAACGCCAGGGGCUCCUUUGUUAUUAUAUGUGGCAGCUUCGCACUCAGCGGUAAGUGCAGCACUUGUUCAGGAGAAGCUUGAUGGCCAAGUCAAGAAGCAGGUCCUAGUGUAUUUUGUAUCUGAAGUUCUUAGUAUAUCAAAGAAAAACUACACAGAAUUGGAGAAGGUGUUAUAUGCUGUUUUGAUGGCAUCCAGGAAGCUUCGGCAUUACUUUCAAGCAUACAAUAUUCUUGUUCCUUCUUCGCAGCCGUUGAAGGAUAUUAUGAGAAAUAGAGAAGCUACUGGGCGGAUUGGAAAAUGGGCUGCAGAGCUCAAUGAAUUUUGCAUUGAUUAUGUGCAUAGAUCUUCGAUCCAGUCUCAAGCGUUGGCAGAUUUUAUCGCCGAUUGGACGCCAGGGGCUCAGGAUGAAGAAACAAAUAAAGAUGCCGAAGUAUGGACAGUGUUUUGCGAUAGGUCUUGGGGAACCUUCGGAGCAGGAGCAGCCGCUGUGUUGGUCUCACCAUCCAAAGUUAAAACUUGUUAUGCGGCAAGACUCGAUUUUAGUUGUACAAACAAUAUUGCUGAGUACGAAGCCCUGCUUUUGGGUCUCCGGAAGUUAAAAGCAAUGGGAAUCAGAAGGGCCAUUCUUAAAACUGAUUCCCAGGUUGUUUCGGGUCAUAUCGACAAGAGUUGCAAGGCUAAAGAUCCGAAGCUUGAAAAAUAUCUAGACACGGUCCGAAGAGUCGAAGCUUCCUUCGAAGGAUUUUCUGUCAAAAAUAUCCCUCGAGGACAAAAUGAGCAUGCUGAUUUGCUAGCUAAGUCAGCAGCACAGGGGCUGCCCUUACCUUCGGAUGUGUUCUUCGAAACAAUAAAAGCACCUUCAGUGGAACUUCUUGAAAGAGCAGUCCUCAAUAUAUCUCCUGUUUAUAGCGAAGACUGGAGAACUGAGAUCAUCUCUUACCUUCAGGGUAAAUUCCUUUCAGAUGACGAAACUUAUAACAGGAGGAUAGAGGCAAGAGCUCGUCCAUAUGUCAUGAUAGAAGGGGAGUUGUACAAGCAUGGAGUUUGUGCUCCAUUACUCAAGUGUUUAUCUAGAGCCGAAGGUAUAGAAUUGAUGAAAGAAAUACAUGCAGGCCUGUGUGGAUCUCACAUUGGAUCUAGGCUGUUACUUGGAAAAGUUUUCCGUCAAGGGUUUUAUUGGCCGAAGGCAGCUUCGGAUGCAGCGGAAUUAGUUCAAAAGUGCGAAGGUUGUCAGAAAUGUGCAAGAGAUCAAAAACAACCUUCGUCCUUAACCCAGCUCAUACAACCCAUCUGGUCAUUGCAAAGGUGGGGCCUUGACUUGUUAGGUCCGUUACCACCGGCCCAAGGGAACUUAAGAUAUGUUGUAGUGGCUGUGGAAUAUUUUUCUAAAUGGAUUGAGGCAAAGCCUUUAGCCACAAUAACUUCGGCCACCAUUCAAAAGUUUUUCUGGCAGAAUAUUGUUUGUCGUUUCGGGGUACCAAAGGCCAUCACUGUAGAUAAUGGAACACAGUUCGACUCCGAAGCUUUCAGAAAUUUCUGUGAUCAAAUUGGUACGAAGAUCCAUUUCGCAUCAGUUAGGCAUCCGGAGUCAAACGGACUCGUUGAAAGAGCCAAUGGCAUUAUAAUGACAGGAAUAAUGAAGUUAAUCUUCAAUCAACCCAGGGGAAAGUGGCCAGAUCAAUUAAUCAAAGUGGUAUGAAGCCACAACACAACAAUAUCAAGGUCAACAGGCUUUACUCCAUUCAAACUAUUGUUUGGUGACGAAGCAAUAACUCCGGAGGAAGCCAAAACUGGAUCAAUAAGAGUAGUAGCUUCGGCAGAAUCAGAUUCUGAAGCUGUUCAUUCUGUGGAAAAAGAUGCUAUAGAAGGGAUCAGGCUUCAAGCUGUGGAGAACAUCAAUAAGUAUCAAGCCGAAACAAUCAAAUGGCGUGAUAGAAAGGUUCGGCUAAAGAAUAUUGAGCCAGGACAUUUGGUGCUUCGGCGAGUGGCUAACCCAGAUACAGUGGGCAAGUUGCAGUUGAAAUGGGAGGGACCUUUUUUGGUAGCAUCUUCGUCAAGACCCGGUUCAUACAGAUUGAAGGAUAUGGACGGCAACGACAUUCCUAGAUCUUGGAAUGCGGAUGAGCUUCGGCGAUAUUAUGUGUAACUUGAUGUAAUUUUUUAUAUUUUUUCUUUCAUGGCACCCUUUUCCUUUCUGAAGGGGGAGGAAGGUUUUUAAUGGGGCCAUCAUAUGUAAUUUCCUUUUUUAGUUCUAUAAGAGCAAAAUCCCCCAAGGAUGUAAAUGUAAAAGCUGAGAACGCACCAUCGAGUGCCGAAAAGAAAACAGGGAAGAAGCUCCAAAGUCGUUCCUAAGGGAAUACAGAGCUUACAGCGAAAAGUCAACGCUGAUUCCGCCGAAAGUAAAAGGCGAAGAAGCUCCAAAGUCGUUCCUAAGGGAAUGCGGAGCUUACAGCGAAAAGUCAACACUGAUUCCGCCGAAAGUAAAAGGCGAAGAAGCUUCAAAGUCGUUCCCAAGGGAAUGCAGAGCUUACAGCGAAAAGUCAGCGCUAAUAUGUGAUUGUUUCUAAGGAAAUAACGGUUGUGAAUAUGGCUUCGGAUAUGUGUUUGGACAUUCAUUUGCACAUCACAUUACAUCAUAACAUUUGCAUUCAUAAACAUUCAUCCAGGCAUAUGUAGGAUAACCAUCAUCAUAGCAUAAGUGGCUGCUUCGGCAAAAAGAAAAAAAAAGAAGAGCUUCGAAAAAAAGGGAAAAGUUGUUUUUUAUGCUUCGCUGUGUACGAAAAGAAGGGAAGGUGUUUUUUCGCCUUCGGCUCAAAAAGAUAAUUUCGUCCACAUCAAAGCACCUCUCAUACAUUAAUGGAAGGGUAAGAGCAUAUUACAAGGUAUGAACAGAAUUCAUUAAGAACAAGUUUAGUCAUAUUUACAAAAGUUAUCUCAAAAUUUUCUUAAGUCUGUCUACAGUCUACUCCUAUUUGAUCUUCAUGGGGCCUCAGCUUCGGCGACAUUCUCUUUAAGCAUCGGUCUCGGCUUCGUCAUCCUACAUAAAUUAAGUUGUUGUAGGUCAAAAUCAAGCUUGAAGGAAAAGGUAAACACAAGGUAUGAUUUCUUACUGGUUCAAGAUGACUCCGAGCUUCUUUUCCAGCCUUUUCUCGCCCGCCUUUUGUCCAUAUCAUCUUUACAAAUCUAUUAGAAAUGCUUCGGGCGAGAUCAGGAAUAUCAUCUAGAAUUGAUGGUGAUAGAGUGAAAUUGGGCUUAUUGACAAUUUUUCCAUGAUCGCAGCCAGCUUUUAGGAAAGCUGCAGCAGUGCCCCGAGAAGGUACCCAGGCGCAGAAGUCACCGUGCCCGGCUAUAACUUCGUCAAGCUCAUCAAUUUCACCUUCAAUAUGUUCGAAGGUCUUUGGUAAAUCUUCAGCUGACGGGGUGAAUUUCUCACUGCUAGCUCCAACUGAGUGGAAGAUUUUUCUCAGUCGUUGAAUACAUUUGUUGCUAAAUUCCAAACAUUUGUCUUGAAGGCCUGCCAAUAAUUUUUUCAAAUCUGAAUUUUGUUGGACUUCGGCUUCAAGUUUUGCAUUAAGUUCUUGCUUUUCUUGUUCAAACUGUUCAGAUUAGCAGAGAAGCUUCGUAUUCAAUUCUGUCAUUUUAGCUUCGGCUUCUGCCAAUAAGCCUUCAGUUGCCUGAAGCUCGAAGUUCUUCUUUUCAAUAGUAGCUGAUUGCUCUUUUAUUUUGAUUUCUAAAUUUUCAAUUAUAACCUCGUGUUUUUUGUCUUCCAGAUCUUGCUGCAUUUUCAAAGCUUUGCUCAACAGCAUACUCUGCACGUAAACAACCUUCGUUAGAUAUGACUUCAUUAUUAAAAACAAUAAAAGUCAAGGGAAAAGUAGUUCACCUUGAAAUUGGAAUAAAAUAAACUACCAACGAUAUGUUGUCGACGGUAGCGGCUAAUGUUCGUUUCCAGCUUCGGAAAACCAAUACUCUUUGACAGAGUACCGAUAACCUUAGCUCCAGUUUGAUCCCGGAUACAUUCUAAUUUUUCAUCAUCAAUACCUCCGAAGAGGAGUGCUCCUGGUUUAUAUCCGCAAGAUUUGGCAUACUCUUUAAGCUCUUCUAUUUCGGUUUUUGACAAUUUUUCUCCAACUAAAUUUUGAAACAUGAAGGCCUCGUCCUCUGAAGCUUCGUCAGCAAUUCCCUUUUCUUUCCCAGACACUGCGGCCAUGGCCUCUUCGGCGGCAGUAGUAGCUUCUUCUGUGGCCAUGUCUAGCAGCAUUUUGUCGAUGUGUUCGAUUGUGCUUUCCAAGUUCAAAUCUUCAAUUGAGGUAGCUUCGGCAGCCGCGACCUCCGAAGGUGUGAUUUCAAUAUUUGUUAUUUCCUCAGCCGCUGAUAUCUUCUGAGCUAAAGCUCUCGGUGGUGUCUUGUCAAUGACUUCUGUCACUGCGAUGAUUCUUUGUCUCUUUGUUUUAGUCGUUUUCUUCAUUUUUUCGGGCUCCUUUUCCUUCUGAAAAAACUUUGUCAGUUGAGGCCUCAAUGGACUUAGCUUCGCAGGCAGGGAUUCAGUCAUUACCUUCAAAAUUUCUUCCACGUCAGCGGCAGAGCGUGAUGCGGGAGUCUCCUCUUCGUCGGAUAUUUUUUGCUUCGGAGAUAGUACUUUCCUCUUCUUCGGAAUAUUCUUCUUUUUUGGUGGUUCUUUCUCAUCUUCAUUUAAAGCUUCGGUUACCCUUUUCCUUUUCCGGCCUUCGAUACCUUUAUUCAGAUUUUCGUAGUCAAGAUAUUCAAAACCCAGGGCGUCCAACACUCGAUUCAGUCUUCGCUUCGGACGGGUACCGAAGGCCGCAGUCAUCAGCUGAUCCUCUUUUUUGGAGUAAUUACCGAGUAUUUCAUUGCACAUUAUUUCAAUUGUGUCCAACCACUCUUGGCAAGGUGUUUUAAAAUAUUUCUUAAACUUGUAAUAGUAAGGUAACCGCACAAGUUCCCCUUCUUUCUUCUCCCCCUCUAGCUUCGGCAUUUCCCAUUCUUUUAAGGUAGGAAAAACCCGGAAAGCCAAAAACUCUUGGACCAAGUCUCUUGUGCUGAUAUGCUCUGAAAUAAUUUUAAACUCAGCCAACGCUUUUUGGGUUGGACCUUCUGGUGUCAUGUUGCAAUGAGGUCGGGUUUCUCCGAAGAUUAGUUCAAGCGGACUCUGCACGAGCUUCUCCUUGUCGUCAUCAACCUUGACGUAGAACCAUUCUGAUUUCCACCCUGCCGGCCACUUGCUUCGAUAGCUGAUGACAGGAAACUUUGUGGUUUUCCGAUAGGCAAAAUUAUAGCAACCAAAGUUAUCAUGCAAUCCAUCCUUUCUAGCCUUCGUCUGAUAAUGCAGUUCGUGAACUCGACAAAAGCUGUCCGCAAACGGCUCCACCGCCUGGCUUCGGAGGGCCCAGAUAUAGACGCUGAGCCUAACGAUAGCGUUAGGAGUCAGCUGAUGAAAGUAGAUCCCAAACCUCUUCAAUACAUCUGCAAUAAUCCCAUGCAGGGGGAAUCUCAACCCAGCCUUUAGAAAGCUCUUGAAAAUAACUAUUUCGUCCUUCUCUGGCUUCGGGGUAGUUUCUUCCCCUCCGAAGCGAAGUAGCUUCUUCUGACUUUCAUUAAAAUAACCUGAUUUCACCAUCUUGGACAGAUCAGCCUUCGAAACAGUCGACUUUCCGAAGUCCAAGUGGCUGGGCUUACUUGGCAUGGCAAUAUGGUAAUCGUCUUCGGAAUCAGUUUCCUCAAUGUUUUCUUCUUCCGCUUCGGCAGUCGCCUGUUCCGCCUCAGCAGUGGGGAUUUCUUCCGGGGUUACCAGUCCGGAUCGUUGCAUCGCUUCGGAGAUGGGAACAGUCUCCGAUCCUUCAGCUUCACCUCCCUCACGUUCAACCCUAUCGGUAGAAUGCACUCUGGCCAUUUAACUCUGAAUUUUUUGGGAACUAAAUGCUUUUUCUUCCGAAGCUUUUUCUUCUGGCGAAGUAGGCUUCAAUCUGGAGCUUCGUCUGGUUCUGAGAGUCAAGCUUCGGCUAUGGUUAAGAAUUUUGGCAGCAAAACAGUGCAAAUAGCAAUGAAUGCUGUGGUAACUUCACACCUACCCGUCUGUUUAUAUAGUGAUGCAGGCAAGAAGGCGAGUCGCCAGGAUUUUUACACCAGGCGAACAGCUGGUACCCACUGAACACUGGGCCACAGAACCCGAGAAGGUGAAUCGCCAGGACACGUGUAACUGCUGCAUGGCGGGGCCACCUUGCGCUCGGAUUAUUUUAAUCGUUUCUCGGCAACGAGCUCAGGGAAGGUGUUUUUUGGACCUUCGGCUUCCCGAAGCCUGAAAUACUUUUUUCACGGAUCAAGCUCGUUACGAAAAACGAUCUAGCACCGCGAAGGGGCUACUGUUGGGACCAUGCUUCGUCGCCGAAGGUCAUGCAGGAAGAAGCAGCUUCGGCUGAAGCUGUUUGUACGAGAUACCGAAGGAUGCAGUUCAUGAAGCUUCGGAAAUGCAAACCGACUUAAAGAUAGAAUGACCCUUUAGCCCAUAAGAGUUCGAGUCAUUGUUGUAAACUUUUAUGAGGGGUAUGAUUGUAAUUCCUCACAGGCUGGGUCCUGUGCCUAUAAAUAGUGAACAGUAUUCCUUUACUGUUCACGAUUUUCCGGUAUUUGCAAUCGCUUCACUCGGGAACCAAUCUUUGCCAAGGCAGAGGUAUAAUUGUAUUCAACACUUAAAUAUAAUGAAUGGAUAAAAUAUGGUUUAUUUAUGAUUCAUUUACCUUUGAUAUUCUAUAUUUUAUGUCAUCUUAUACAAUCUGUUAGAAUUCAAUUACGGAGAUAUGACCUUCGUAAUUGUAUUGCUAUCAACCUUCGUCCAAGGCCCAAUAUCCCCAAGGGAAUAAUGCUUCGUUGGACGAAGAACAUUAGCAUUUAACAUUUUAUGUUGCCUUGUUCUUAAUUCAUAGCAUUUGAGAACAAGUUCCCAACAGUUGCAUUAGAUGUUAUUUAUUGCCACGACCUUUAAAAGUGGUUGCAAUAUAUGGACCAUUUUGCCACUUUUUUUGUGCAUUGCGAUAACCAUGACUUUCGUUGCAAGAGAAAGGUGUUAUUGCGACCACGAGAACAGUUGUUGCAAAAUCACCCUAAUGCCAUGACAGAUAUUGCAACAACAAUAUUUUUGUUACAUUAGAUGUUAUUUAUUGCCAUGACCUUUAAAAGUGGUUGCAAUAUAUGGACCGUUUCGCCACUUUUUUGUGCAUUGCGAUAACCAUGACUUUCGUUGCAAGAGAAAGGUGUUAUUGCGACCACUAGAACAGUUGUUGCAAAAUUACUCUAGUGUCACACCGGAUAUUGCAACAACAAUAAAGUUAUAGCAUUAGGUGUUAGUUAUUGCCACAACCUUUAAAAGUGGUUGCAAUUUAUGCACCUUUUUGCCACUUUACUUGUGCAUUGCAAUAAUCAUGACUUUUGUAGCAAGAGAAAGAUGUUAUUGCUACCACUAGAAUAGUUGUUGCAAAAUGUCCCUAGUGGCUCACCAGAUAUUACAACAUCAGUAAAGUUGUAGCAUUACGUGUUAGUUAUUGCCACAGCCUUUAAAAGUGGUUGCAAUAUAUGCACAUUUUUGCCACUUUAUUUGUGCGUUGCAAUAAUCAUGACUUUUGUUGCAAGAGAAAGAUGUUAUUGCUAUCACUAGAACAGUUGUUGCAAAAUGUCCCUAGUGGCUCACUGGAUAUUACAACAUCAGUAAAGUGGUAGCAUUAGUAGCAGUGUAGAGCGAGACGCGGCAUAUGCGUAGAAUUCUUUUUUUCAUCCAAACCGACCGGGCGUGCGGGGAGGGUGAGGCCAUCCUGUGUCAUAUACUCUCAUGUCUGCGCAAGGCCAAGGGAAUCGUAGUAUAUACGGACCUACCGCGCGCGACAUGUCUAAGUCGUGAUCCAACUUUGCGUUCUGUGUCUGGAUCGUGAUGGGAAAUAUAUUCAAUUUAUUGAUACGUUACAAGAAAAAUACAAAGAACAGUCUAGAAGUUUCUGUUCUCUCAGACACACAUCAAUAAAACACGCAGGUGAAUAAAAUACAAGGAAAAGGAUCACAUGAAUCUUCUAAAAUCUGAUAUAUAACCAACAAUAGAAAAGAAUACAAGGAAAAUGAUCACAAGAAUCUUCUAAAAUCUGAUAUAUAACCAACAAUAGAAAAGAAUACAAGGAAAAUGAUCACAAGAAUCUUCUAAAAUAUGAUAUAUAACCAACAAUAGAAAAGAAUACAAGGAAAAGGAUCACAAUAUUCUUCUAAAAUCUGAUAUAUAACCAACAAUAGAAAAGAAUACAAGGAAAAUGAUCACAUGAAUCAUACAAUUUCCAAUUGUUGUCCGCAUGCCUAUACUAGUACAUAUUACAGCCGCCACUGCCUGCAGGGGACUCAAACUGCCGCCCGCUAGGACACACAACAACCAGCAGCUAGGGACUCCACGCCUUCAGGUGAUCCUUAUUCAAGCACACCUUCGCCAACCCCAUCCAACAGUCAGCUUUAGACGGUUUGCACUACAACAGAAAAUAGGAGACAACCAUCAGGUAAUCCUUAUUCUUAAUCACAACGAUGUAACUAGUUUAGACAAGUGAUCCAUGCACGGUUGCACCAUGAUUCCUAAGAGUUUCCGCCAUUUUAGGUUCUAGCCAAAUAAUAUUCAGUUUUAUGGCUGUUGUACCUGCAAAAAAAUUAUACAUCGUGUCCGUUAAAGUCAAAAUAAAUGUGACUAAUGGUGAUAAUAGGGAAGGAUGGCAUAGAAGAGAUUAAAGCAUUUACGAUAAUAUAUAAAGUUAAUGGACAACAUUGCAGUGGCUCGCGUGUGGAAGUAAAUGCACACUAAUAUCUAUAAACUUUUUAUUAAAAAAAUCUGCAGGUUCUCGUGUUCUAAAUAGUACAUGGUUUCAUCUUGUUUUGAGCCAUUAACAGCAAACCUGGAAAGUUUUUUCGUUUGUGUGUCAUUUCAGAAGUCACCUACGUUUGCUUUCAGACAAAAUAGGAACACACCCUUGUUGCAGCUCAAAAACCAAAUAAUACAUUGAAAUUGAACACCCAAGUGCCACGUGAAAUGAAGUGUUGUGUGCAAAAACUCUAUAGGUACAACGAAUGAAUAAUUGAUAUACUAUGUCUAGUUAUUGGGCUAUUAGUUUGUGAGCGUUAAGUAGUACUGAGUUGUAGUUUAAUGCCAAGGAGGUUGACCGGUAGAGUCCACAAAGCAUUAGUAAAAAUAUUGGUUAAGAUCUUGUCUCUGUCAGACUUGAUUGUUUUUCAACAUUAUUCAGAAAGAGAUUAGCUACAUAAGGGGUCAGAGAGUGGAUAUUUCUGUGAAAGAAAGUAUGUAUAUAUUUACAAACCCCUGCAUAUCAGCUUUGAUUGGAAGAGCUCCGAGAUUUAGAGAAAGCAAAUAUGUAAGAAAAAGAACCCAUGCACAUAUUUACCAGAAGCUAGUACGUACCAUGCAUAUAUGAUUAGGUAGUCAAACCAUCUCUGAAUCUGGGCACAACUGACAAAAUAAAGAGGAACUGUCAAGUCAGAAAUAAAAUACAGUUAUAUACUUUAAGUUAUUAGGUUUGUGAGAUACUGUUAGAGUAUAUGUGGUUAGGCCCAUGUGGCUAGGCCCAUGUGGCCCAUGUACAAACACUAUAUAGCUACCCUCUAGGGUUAGCCCUAAUAAUAUACAAUUAUUACCUCUAACAUGGUAUCAGCCUAGCCUAGGUUUUCCUCCAGCCGCAUGGCAGCCGCUGCUAGGGUUUUCUCCAGCCGCCAGGUCGCCGCCACCAGGAGCCCCUGCGCGCCAGGCCGCCGCCGACAGGAACCAGCGUGCGCCCAGGAAUCCGCGCCGCCGCCGCCAGGACCCAGCGCCGCCACCAGGACCUGCCCCUGCGCUCCAGGCAGCCGCCUCCAGGAGCCCCUGCGUGCCAGGCCGCGCCUCCAGCCAGCCGACCGAGCUCCGCGCGCAGCUCUGGUCCGCGCAACGCGCCUCCAGCCAACCGAGGAGUCGCGCGCCCCUGCACGCCAGCGACCCUCCCAUGGCUGGCGAGCAGCCUCCUCUCUCCCCCUCCACUUUCCCUCCCCUCUCCUCCUAGGCGCGGGCCACCUCCCCUGGCAGGCCCGCCAUCGCCGCCUCUCCUACCGCUGUUGCGGCCGUCGUGCGUGGGCGUGCCCCCCUGGCCCCUCCCCACCCCCUCCCAGUCGCCGCCGUUGUCUCCCCUGAAGGUGCGCAGGCGCUGGUGGCAGGGGCAUGGGGGUCCGUGCCCGCCUCUGCGCUCGAGCCGACGUGGGGGGCCGGGCCCACCACCGCCGGUGGGGCCCUCACCGCUGCGCGCACCGCCUCGGCCCUUGCGGCUGUGGCGGAUGCAGUUCCCGCGUGGGUUGCCGGUCCAGAGGACCCUCCCCCACCAAUUCCCCCGUCGCUGGUCGUCGAUCCGCCCUCGGUCAUCGAUCAACCGCCUCCUCCACCGGUCGCCCACCAAGGAUACACCGUCGCCGCCCUCACUGCUGCCCGUGCGGAGCACGCGGCGCGACAGGCCCACUUGUGGGAAGCGGCCCUCAUAUGGGAGCGCGAGCAUGAGGCCGCCGACGUUAUCGCUGCUCAGAUUGCUGCGGCGGAACAGCUCCUCGCCUCGCCUGCGGCCCACGACGGCGGGGCCACCUCCUUUGACACCAUGGGCGGCGUGUACGGCGUCCCAACCGCACCGACUGUCGGAACCGGGCCCCGCACCAUCCCUACGAUGCUCUGGCAUGACUCGGCUGACCCGCUCGUGGCUCAGCUCCACCUUCAAGCUGGGAGUGUCCAGAACAUUCGCCUGAUGGUUCCUGUCGUCCUGGAGCCUGAGUCACCGUCCUACGCACGCUGGCGGUACUUACUCCUCCUCACCCUUCGCCGCUAUGCUCUGGACGACCACGUCCUCUGCGACCCCACCAGCAUGGCGCCGACUGCCGCGUGGGUGCGCCUUGAUAGCAUCGUGCUCACCUGGAUCGUGGGGACGAUCUCCGUUGACCUCCACAGCCUCCUCCGGAACCUUCCUCACGCUCGGGCUGUUUGGCUUGCCAUCGAGGGCCAGUUCAUGGGCAACGCCGAGGCCCGGGCUCUCCGCCUCGACGCCGCUUUUCGCACCUUCGUCCAGGCAGACCUCAGUGUCAGUGCAUACUGCCGCAAGAUGAAGACCAUGGCGGACUCACUUGGCGAUCUGGGUUGCCCUGUGGAGGACCGCAUCCUAGUCCUCAACGUCCUCCGCGGCCUCGGCGAUCGCUAUACCCACCUCCGGUCGUUGAUCAUGCGCUAGCGCCCCUUUCCUACCUUCCUCCAGGUUCGCGACGACCUCGCCCUGGAGGAGAUCACUCUGGGUGCUCAGGCUGCAUCGAUCUCCGGCCCGGGGUCCUCGUCCUCUUCGACAGCACUGGCGGAAUUCACCCCGACCCGUCCACCUACUCCGUCACAGUCUGCCCUUGGCCCUCGCCCUCCCGGUCCGAGCAUGGGCGGCGGGGGUUGAGGUGGUAGAGGCGGGGGCGGUGGUGGUCGUCGCCGCCGUGGUGGCCGCGGUGGUGGUGGUGGUGGUGGUUCCGGCGGUGGUGCCCGUGGCCACACACCGACGCCGGGACCCUAGCAGGGUGCGCCUUGGCCCACUUUCCACCACCCGUGGUCAGGGCACAUCUCCAUGUGGCCGUUCCAGGGGCCAGGCUCUGAGGCUCGGCCCCCGGCGGCCAUGUUCGCUGGUGCGCAGCCAGGGUUCGCCUUCUCCUCUCCGUCGCCCUGGACCUCAACACCUACCGCUUCGUCGUGGCCCACGCCACCGGCUACUCCACCGUGUGGGCUGGUUGGUUGGGACAUGGCCGCCCUGGCUGCCUUCCAGACUCCUAGUCUGACUCCGCUGAUGGGUCCCGAGUGGAUCGCGGACACCGGUGCUACCUACCACACCACCCCCGACCCUGGUAUACUCACCUCUGUUCGCCCUCCUUCUUCCUCUCUCCCUUCGUCCAUCAUGGUGGCGAAUGGCUCGUGUCUUCCUGUCACAUCUGUGGGUGUCGUCGGCCCUCCCGGCUCUUUUUGCAUUCCCGAUGUUCUUGUCGCUCCUUCUUUGGUCCACAAUCUUCUUUCUAUUCGUCGGUUUACUGCUGAUAAUUCUUGUUCUGUCGAGUUUGACUCUUUUGGUCUUACUGUGAAGGACUCGGCAACUCGGCGCCCCCUCCUCAGAUGUGACAGCACCGGCCCCCUCUACACCCUUCGGCUUUCGCACGCCACAUCUUCUUCGUCUUCGUCACCUGACACAGCUGGUGUUUUUGCUGCCGCCACGUCUUCUACCACCUGGCAUCGUCGCCGUGGUCACCCCGGACGCGAUGCCUUGAUGCAGCUUACUCGUAGUGCCACUAUCCCAUGUACUAGAUCCCAUGAUGAGCAUCUUUGUCAUGCGUGCAAGUUAGGCUGCCAUAUUCGUCUUCCUUUUUCUUCUUCUUCCUCACAUGAUACUCAUGCAUUUGAUCUUGUACACUUUGAUUUGUGGACUUCACCUAUUACCAGUAUGUCAGGCUACAAAUACUAUCUUGUGGUGCUUGAUGAUUUUUCUCAUUAUGUGUGGACUUUUCCUUUGCAUGCCAAGUCUGAGACUUUCCCCGCCCUCCGCCACUUCUUCGCCUAGGUGUCCACUCAGUUCAGCCUCACCAUUAAGGUCGUUCAGUGUGACAAUGGUCGGGAGUUCGAUAACUCCACCUCCCGCGACUUCUUUCUCUCCCACGGGAUGCAGUUGCGGAUGUCUUGCCCGUAUACCUCCUCCUAGAACGGCAAGGCUGAGCGCAUGAUCCGCAUGACCAACGACACCAUCCGCACUCUUCUUCUCCAGGCGCACCUUCCCGCACGUUUCUGGGCCGAGGCCCUCCACACCUCUACCUACCUCCUCAACCGUCUCCCUUCCACUGCGUGCCCGGCCCCCACUCCUCACCAGGCACUCUUCGGUACCCCUCCGCGCUAUGACCACCUCCGUGUCUUCGGGUGUGCUUGCUACCCGAACACCGCUGCCACUGCUCCUCACAAACUAGCACCCCAUUCCACCCUCUGUGUGUUUCUCGGGUACUCCCUGGACCACAAAGGCUACCGCUGUUUUGACCUCUGCUCUCGCCGGGUCCUCAUCUCUUGCCAUGUGGCGUUUGAUGAGUUCGUAUUUCCAUACUCCUCCACCACCACACCACUCUCCUCCGACCCUGACCUUGACCUCUUCACUCUCUUUCCGACUGACGCGGUGGUCGAGCCACCUCUCCUUCCUCUCUCUGCAGGUACUCGCUCACCACCUGUCGGUCCUACUUCCGGCCCGGUACCUUGCUCGGGUCUGGUGGUGUCGCCUACGGUGGUGUCGCCUCUCUGCGGAGCCCCGUCUCCGAUCGCCCCCGAGCCGAGCGAGGGUGGUGGGACUACAUCGCCUACGGGGCUGUCGGUUCCGACCCCUCUGGCCCGCUUCGCCCAGCCGGUGUGGGUCUACCAGCGUCGGCUGCCGCCACCGGGGUUCACACCUCCACCGUCGCCGCCCCUGCCGCUGUCACCACCGGUGGCCCAGUCCCCGCCAGGGACACCUACACCUCCCGCGGCCACCCGCGGCCCGUGUCGAGACGCCAGUGUACCACCCACCGCGACCCACGGCACGUCCACCCAAUGGUGACGCGGCACGCGGCUGGUACCCUACCGCCUCGUGUCCUGGCGGCCACGACCGCAGACUCGCAGGUUUCUCCGGUACCCUCCUCCCUCCGCACCGCCCUGCUGGACCCCCACUGGCGUCGAGCGAAGGAGGAGGAGUACGCGGCGCUCAUUGCCAACCAGACGUGGGAUCUGGUGCCCCAUCCGCUCGGCACUAACGUCGUCACCGGCAAGUGGAUCUGGACGCACAAGCGGCGGGCUAAUGGUACCCUGGAGCGGUACAAGGCUCGUUGGGUUCUUCGGGGCUUCACUCAGCGCCCUGGAGUCGAUUACGAUGAGACCUUCAGCCCGUUUGUGAAGCCGGCCACCGUCCACACGGUGCUAUCGCUGGCCCUUGCUCGCUCCUGGUCAGUUCACCAGCUCGAUGUCAAGAAUGCCUUCCUGCACGACGCUCUCAUCGAGACCGUCUACUGCUAUCAGCCAGCGGGGUUCGUCGACUCCUCUUGCCCUGACAUGGUCUGCCGACUCAACAGGUCCCUCUACGGCCUCAAGCAGGCCCCCCGGGCGUGGCACUCUAGACUGGCUACGUUCCUGGUGACACUGGGCUUCGUGGAGGCCAAGUCAGACACACCUCUAUUCGUCCACCAUCAUGGAGCAGAGACUGCCUACUUGCUCCUCUACGUGGAUGACAUUGUCCUCACCGCCUCCAGUCAGUCACUUCUUCGCCGCCUCGUCGACGCGCUUCAGCGGGAGUUUCUGGUCAAGGAUCUGGGUGUGCUUCACCAUUUCCUGGGGGUCACUGUUGAGCCUCGCCCCUCAGGACUCCUACUUCACCAGCGGUAGUACACUCUUGACAUUCUGGAGCGGGCCAAGAUGAUUGAUGCAAGCCCUGCUCUACCCCAGUCGACACACAGGCGAAGCUCUCUGAGGCCAUGGGUGACCCAGUCAAGGACCCCACCGGGUACAGGAGUCUUGCAGGUGUCCUUCAGUACCUCACCUUCACUAGGACAGACAUCUCUUACAUUGUGCAGCAGGUCUGUCUCCAUAUGCACGACCCCCGAGAGCCCCAGCUCGCGGCUCUCAAGCGCCUCCUCCGCUACCUCCGAGACACCGUCGACUACGGGCUGCUUCUUCACAUGUCUACCUCCUCCGAGCUGGUCGUCUACACCGACGUUGACUAGGCCAGGUGCUCGGAAACUCGGCGCUCCACCUCCGGCUACGCCGUCUUCUUAGGCGGUAACCUGGUGUCCUGGUCGUCGAAGCGCCAGCCGGUCGUCUCCCGCUCGAGUGCUGAGGCGGAGUACCAUGCCGUGGCCAACGACGUGGCGGAGGCUGCGUGGCUCCGGCAGCUCCUCGCCGAGCUCCACAGUCCCAUCUCCAAGAGCACGUUGGUCUACUACGACAACGUCAACGCCGUCUACCUCUCCACCAACCCGGUGCAGCACCAGCGGACCAAGCAUGUGGAGAUCGAUCUACACUUUGUCCGAGAUCUGGUCGCCGUCGGUGAUGUUCGGGUCCUCCACGUCCUGACCACCUCCCAGUUUGCCGACAUCUUCACCAAGGGUCUUUCGUCCUUGACCAUCACCGAGUUUCGCUCUAGCCUCAACAUCAGUAGUGGCUAGUUGAGUCUGUGGGGGGAUCCUAGUGUGUGAUGUACUUCUUGUUUUCGGAUCCAGUCUGUAAACUCCGCUGCGACGGAUGUUCAGACUACGGGGGGUGUUAUAGUAUAUGUGGUUAGGCCCAUUUGGCUAGGCCCAUGUGGCCCAUGUACAAACACUAUAUAGCUACCCUCUAGGGUUAGCCCUAAUAAUAUACAAUUAUUACCUCUAACAGAUACUCACAGAUAUCUUUAUUUUUCAUUUUCUGCAAGGCAAAUGAGCACAUCUAUCUCAAUCAUUGCAAGCAAACCGAUGAAGAACAGGGGGGACACAUCUCACAUCACCGCUCGGAUGGAACACACUUUGCCAGACGACCAAGAGGAAUUCGGAGAGUAAGAAGAGGCAGGCAAAAAUAAAAGCCCUAGCAGCUAGGAAACGUAGAUUGGAGAGUGUGUCAAACCUCUGAGUAGCAACGGGACGAAGGAAAAUGAGUGCGCGAGGGAGGAGGGGACACAGAGGUGUCGUUGCCGAACCCUACAUCGCUUUUCCCCUUCUCGAACUCUAGCAUAACGCGAGAGAGGGAGGGGAUCCAGCACCGCGAUGCCGGGGGAUGCAGGCGCCGACCAUGGAGAGGGAUGGGUAUGGAGCACCGCGGCGCUGCGCCGAGGGUGAGGGGCAUCCGCGUUUGGCCGGGAAGCGUCAAGGUCGGGGAUGGACCUCCAGGCGGAGGCUGGCUAGGAGGCUAAUUAGCAGUACCGUCGAGACGCGCCAUCGUUGAUUGCCGAUAGAACGCGCAGAACCAGAAGGGGUAGGUAAGUAGCCACCGAGUGACCCCUAUCGAACGGCUGAUAUUUCUUUUCAUAUGUUUAAAUUUAUAUCUUGCAGCGAAAAUAAAAACCAACGUCUUUUCUUAAAAAUGCUACUCUUUAUAAAGAUUGGUCGUACUACGUAAAUGUAUUACCGUUGUCAUAUAAAAUACUUCAUAUAUUAUAACUAUUUAUCUUAAUUUAAACUAAUUUAAACAAAUAUGUAAUUAUAGUAAUGUGACGCACUAAAUUUAGGCAAAAAAGGAGCCUAUUACCGCACCUAUUACCUACUCUAUCUUUUUUAUUCUAAUUGUUGUAAGCCAUCCUUCGUUCAGUUUCAUCAGUGGGAAUUCAUCCUUCGUUCCUCUUCAUCUCUACUAUCUAUUAAGACGAUAGUGGAGACCAAGGCACUGCCCCCACACCCUACCCGACGUGCACACGCACGCCAUCGCCCUCAUCCGAGAGCCACCCCGACACCCCGCUCUCCCGUCUUCUUUGCUUCGGCGCCACCGCCUCCCGCAGGCCCACCCAUGCGCGCGCUUCUCCCACCAGAUGCACGUGUGCCCGCACUCAUACGUCUACCUCCAACGACGCGUGCCCGCUCUGCAGCGGGAUCAUCGGCCCCCUCGUGCGUUGCCCUCGGCAGGCGGCCCUUGCCCUCUGAUGCCCUCGCGCUGGCGGUGUCUCCCACCGACGAGGCGUUCGCGCUGCACGAGGUGCUGGUGCGACACUGUCACGGUGUCACGGACCUGCAGGCGGAUCCUACCCUAUAGGUUCGUACAACUCCCACCCAUCCUUAGAUCGACGCGUGCCGCCAUUCGCCUCCGCGAUAUAUGCGCCCCCUAACUCACGGCCUCACUGCGGCGCCCCUUUCCUCCCCUUGCCUUGAUGCACAGGCCUAGAAGGAGAUCCAAUCAGCCAAGUCUCACUUUCUCCACCAUGCUCCACCGCCACACGCCUAUUGGAGUGUCGCUGCCUCCUCGACCAUCGCAUCACCGACAUCACAACCCGCAUCGCCGACCUCACAACCAACGUCCUUCUCCUCGCGGCCUACACGGCCCCUCCACUCGCACUACAGUAACCACAGCGACAAUGGCGUGUGGCGGGCUACACAUUCGGGUGCUCCUUCCAGGCAUCCAACUUACUCCCUCCAGCUCCGGUCCCCCACGCUAUGAAGGUGUCGUGCAACUGCGCACAGGUGGAUGUGGGCCUCAGCGACAGCAGCUAUGCGAGGGGGAUGUGCCCAGUGGCACAUCCACUGGUACGUCCAUCUCGAUCCACCUGGUGCUUUGGUUUUUAGUACUCCGUUCUUGAGCCACUGCUUGGUUUGCUUGCUCCUAUUUUGGUUGGUUAGGAAGUCUAGAUUGCUUCGACAAAUGCAUCGUCUUGCUAUGUUAUGUGUAAUAUUUUCUCUGUUAUGAGCCCUGGAAUCAAAAUUUUUCUCCUGCGUCUGCUGCCUUCCUCCAUCCAGUUCCUUGUGGAUUUGCUUCUUGUGUGUUGUUGUGCUAAAUAAUACCUAUUUAAUUUUGCAAUUUCUUAGGUAGUCAAGUUUUGCACCUGCGUGUUGUUUCUUCGUGCUAUCAUAGUUCAUGAAGCUAACUUUGAUUUUAAAUUGGCAGCCUUAUCAGUACAGUUGGUACAUGAUUGAUGUUUUAUAUGUUUCUAACAAACAAAGUCAUGCCAUAGAAAUUGUGUCAGUCACAACAACUUAGUGCCAUUGCUAUCAUAACAUAAGCCAUACUUUAUAAUUUGGUGCUUUUCAAAAUGAAAUUUAGUGGAAUACAACUUGGGCAUGACUUUUCAUACUCUUUUGAACUGAUAUGGAUGCACACUUAGGAAAUAAUGACACAUGUUACAAAAAUUAAAUCAAAAGGUUAGCCAAUUCAACAUAAAGCAACAACGUUCCAUGGAUGUUGGUCUCAUGAUGAUAUUUUAGUAGUCUUGAAAAUAGAGAUGCCACACAACCGAUGAAUGGUGAAAUUAAGUUUUGCUUCAAAAAUUCGCAUAGAUGACAUAAUUGCAGACUUCAAAUUAAGAUAAUAUAAGUAAUAUUCUAUACCAACUUCUAUAGUCAUCCAAGCACCUUACCACAUAUCAUCUAAAGUUUGAAAUGCAUAGCUUAGAAGUUAUUGUUUUUUUACCAAAAAAUAUGUGUAAUACCAUGUUGUUUUUUUGGCUGAACUACUAAGUAACUUACCAUAACAUUGAGAAUUUUUGUUUUGGCAUGGUCCAUUGUUUUUGUAUAUCGUAGAAUCACUCCAGCCUCCACUCGUCAGUUUAGUUCCCAAAUGGCAAGGGUGCAAUCUCCUUCCUAAUCUGCUCUACUACAAGGGUUUUGAGCUGGGUGGCGGCGCGACGGCGGCCUGAGGCCCAAUAGCACCUCCGCCCGGCCCAGUCUCCCUUUGAUUAUUCUCUACUAGCUUGUCUCGUCAUCUCUGUCAAGCUGGAGCCGCCACCGUUUGUCUUCUCUGUCAAACACCAAGCAUUCAGGGUCCAGCCCCAGCCGGUCGCCGCUCCUGCCUACCUUUCGGUUCCAGCAAGCAAUCCCCGAGGAGCGAGCGGACAAGAGAAGAAAUCAAGAAAACCCGCCUACCCCGCACCAAAAUGUCAAACCACAACAAGUCCCAUCUGUCCCUCCCCCCGCCGCCAAGGGCCACCGACCAGGAGAUCACGUGCUCAUCUCUCAUGGAGUCCGUCUAGCUUCCGCUCGUCUGCACCCACUCCAAGCAACCGCAGCGGUGAGUUUGAUCAGGCCAAAAGGCCCUUCCUUGUUCCUUGCACUCCUCUACAUCGUUGCGCGACUUAGUUGAUUUACAUGAUUUCCUGUUAGUCUGAUGUCCUCCACCUAUUGUCAGAUUUUGCAUAGUCCCUGACUAGUGACUACACACUCAUCUCUGUUAGUCUGAUGUGCGCUACUGCGUUGAGAGUGUUUGUGUGACUUAUUGGCAUCGUUGUUUUGAAUAAAUCUGUUUGUUCAUAGGAGAUUAUAUUAGCCCUGUUGCAGCGUAGAUCAGGAUAUCAAACUAGGCCUCUGUCUGGUGUUUUUACAGUAGCAAAUGCAAACUUAAUUUUUCUUGUGUCAUGGUACCUGGAUCGUGUUCUGUCACUAAAAUUACUGCACAUAAUUCCAUUAAAUAAUAUGUUGUUAUACAUACAUGAUUUUUCUUUCCUAGCCCUGUUAGCAUCUAUUUUCCCUAACUAUGAUGGCGACUCAAGGAGGUUUGCCACCGACAAGCAAUGAAGCUAAUUUAUGCACCAACGACAAUGGUAGCCAACUUGGUACACGGAUUGUGGAAGAGAUUAUGGCUGGGAAGAACAUCUUUGAUCUUCCUAAUAAGUAAAAAUCUAUCUACCUAGAUUGUUCUCUACUACUUUGGCCUUGGCGCAGAUCAUAAUUAGACUAUAUUGCUUAGAAUAUAUUUGUGUGGCAGGUUGACGGGUGAGAUAUGGACCUUGAAAUUCCAUUGCAUUUGAACACAACCUGGAAAAGAAAUUGUCACAAUAAAUAUUGAUAAAGCUUAUGUUGCCUUUUACAACGUGGUGUACAUAAAAUCGAAACUUGGAUAUUCUGGGAGGGACUUCUUGUUUUACAAGAAACGAUGUGGCAUUGACCGAUCCAGGCUAUUGGCACUUGAUUACAUCCACCAAGAAGAGGCCAUGCUAUCUGAUAACGUGGAUGAGAGAAAAAUAAGUUUUGUGCUCACAAAAGAUCCACCCCGUGAUCUAGAGGUAAGCAUAACUCCCAUCAAGCGUCCAAGGCAGCGAACAAAUGUUGACGAAGAAACUAUAGAAGUGUCGAUUGAUGCAUAUAAGGAGUGGCUUGCAAUACUACAACAUGAUAAUCCAGAAACGGGUAAGUUAAGAUGUCAAACUCAUUACAUUAAAUACAUGAUAUGUUAUAGUUUCCACAGUUAAACUUACGUAUUGUUUAAGUGUAGAUUUAAUGGAUGACUUUAGGGAGGAUACGAUCAAAACAUAUAAAGAAUGGUUAAGGCAUCAAGGCGAUCUUCCAGAUAUCUGUGAUUUCUUUUAUUUACAGCGUACUAACAUAUAGUGUAUAUUUUUGCAAAUUGUUAGAGACAUAACUGAUGCCUAUGCUAUCCACAGUAUUGCAUGAACGACAAAGCAAUGAUGACCUAAUAUUAUCAGAUGAAGAAAUUCAUGGCAGCGGCAAACCUACGGCUGAUUGGCCAUCUCAUGCUAGACGUCAUAGGAAAAGAGAUCCUGGUAUAUUUUACUAAGAGUGUUUUUAUUCAAAUGUUGCAAUCUUCUACUUUGGAUAUUUCUACCCAUUCAUAUGUUAUUGGUAUAUAUGUAGAUAACGAUGGAGUCUUCAAAAAGGAGGGGAGUGGUACCCUUAAGGGUAUAGCAGCAGCUACCAAGCGAAUCAAGAACGACAAUCACAAACUUAAGAUUGAAUUUUCAUCUAAGCUUGGAGGUCCCGUAGGACCAAACACUCGCACUUUUGUGGAUGAAAUCGUAUUGUAUACAAAGAAAAAGGCACCACUCAUUGGAGUGAAAAAGUGGAAAGAUAUAGAGCUCAAUGUUAGAUCUUCUAUAGCAUAUGACGUACUGGUAUGUGCAAUUUCUUUAGUAACUAUUAGUUGCCUAGCAUGCUAUGGCACCGCUACUUCACCCGAGAUUAAGCCGUCUCAAACUUUCUUUGGUAUGAUCUACUGAGAUAUGGUCAACUAUUCACAAAUUACUAGACAAUUAACCAUCUCUUUGUAUCAAAACUGAAACAUCGAAGGUGGGAGUUUCCAAGAAAUGAGGACGUGCAUGAAAAGAUAUGGUCUAUUGCCAAGGAGAGGUACAAAGGAUGGCAAUCUGCAUUAAGCUCAACAUACAAGGCAUACAACAAUUAUGCUGAAAGAUGAAAAACAAGCCUGAAGAUGUAGACAUCGUAGAGUGGCAUUACCUGAUGCUGUAUUUUGGAUCUGAGAAAUUCCAGGUUCGAUAGCAUUUCCUUUACAAUGAUUGACACUUGCAUAAUAUCGAUGAUUCUAGCAUUUUAUUUAUUAAUUCAUUUACAAUUGUUAUUAUUUUGUAGAAAAUAAGUAGUCGGAACUUGGAAAACCGUCAGAAACAAAGAACAAAGCAUAUAAUGGGUUCUAGAACUUUUUCCCAUAUAAGCUUUGACCAGGUAAUGAUAUGACCACUACAUUAUUUUCCAUGAUUAAUGACAAACUUGUAUAAUGCAUUCUUCGCGUCAUAGAGAGACCCAAAAACUGGUAUAGAACCAACUGAUCUAACCCUUUGGAUGAGUACUCAUUGUAAAAAUGGUGAAUGGUUGGAAGAGGCUUCACAUGGUAUUUAUGUAAGUGAAUCACAAAGUUUAGUACUUAAACAUACUUCAAAAUACUAUGUAGAAAUUAUUAUUUGAAUUGAGUAAACUUGAACUACAUUGUUCAUUUCAGGAGAAGGCAUGCGAGAAAAUUGUUGAGAAAGUAUAUCAAGAUGAUGGAUUUGAUCUGACGAGAGAAGAGGAAAAUGCAAUUUUCCAAACAUCAUUCAAGGAAACAACAGGAUGCAAGGCAAAUAGGCUUCAUGGUCAUGGGUACCUAUCAAGAUAUCCAACAAGAAGUCAAAUGAUGGAUUCAAAAUUCCUCGAACAAGCUCGUGCAACGGCUGCAACCAACCAAAAGAACAUUGAACUCGAAACCCAGGUCCAUCUAUUAAAUGAAGAACUUGCAAGUGAGGUUGCAGAAUGGGAAAGAAUAGUGCAAGAAAAAAAUGCAAGCACUGCAAGAAGAAGAAGAAAGAAAAAGGCAACUAUUUAGAGAAGAAAUGAGGAAGGAAAUGGUUGUUGCCCUUACUGCAGCACAACAGGUAUAAAAUUUGAUAUUUGUAUCUUUUACCACCAUUGCUAUUGGAAACUUCUUCAACAUAAAUUGUUUGAUCAAUUGUUUAAUGCAGGCCAACUGAGAAAGCAUCACUCCAGUCGAUCCUCCUUUAGUGAUCCCAACUGAAACUCCUGAACUCAUCCCAGUUGAUCCUCUUGCACCAACACCAAGAAGUGAAAACAAUGUUUGUACUCCAGACACAAACAACAAGAAAGACAAUGUGCCAGCGAACUAUAUUAGCUCUUACGCUCUAAGGAAUGUUGUGACAAGACGUGUGUAGGCAAGGGGCAACAAAAGAAGUGAAUGUGUAUGGAAUGCAAAUGUUCAUGUAUUUUGGUCAAAUAUACUAUAGUAUGAAAUUCUUUUGAUAGUUUUGUUUUUUAAUCUUGAAUAUGAUUAUAUGUACAAUCUGUAAGCGCAAGCGAGAAACAAGGAAUAUCAUCUUAAGAAGUUCUAUCAAAGCGUGUUUAAGGUAUAUGUCCACAAUCCAAUGGAGCACUUCCUAUUUUUAUUUCUUUUGUAGUCAUGCAUGCAAUGGAUUUUAGUGUUGUUGUGCUGCUUGUUGCGUGCUGCUGCUUGCUAGGAGUUGUGCUAUAUAAAAGGUUUAGUUCUUACAUAGCAUUUGGAAUCUACUUAGAGAGCAACUACAUGAUUAACCAAGUUAUUGUACCUGUAGCCACUGCAGUUGUAGUCUUCCACUUAUGGUUAACCAAGUUAUUGUAGCUUUACUAAUUAAUUGUUUUGAACACUUCCAACAGGUUCGUUGUCAUCGUGAUAUCGUUGUCAUGAUAACCAUCACUUGCAUCAAUGGAGGAGAUGGAGGGGUACACGGUGGACCAAAAAAGCUUCCACUCAUUUGCUAGUGUUGAGUAGUUUAUUACCUAUGUUAUCACAAUCCAAGCUAGCAUGAGGAUGUUGUGAUUGUGAGCUAUUUUGUCAAAUUAAUUUGUAUUUGGUCACUGUUUAUUUGGUGCAACCUAUUUGUUACAAAAUGGUAUGGAUAUAGUUAAUAUAUGAGGCAAGAGACAAAUAUUAUGGUUGUCAAUUUUGGUUCUGAUGUUACAUAUGCGAAAUAUAAUUCUUUUUGCGUAAUAUAUUAUACCCAAUAGAAAUACAAAAUGCAUUGUCGUAUAAAUUAUGGGUUGAAUAUAUGUAAUUGCAACAUUUUUAUUCGUUGUUAUAUGGUUCGGUUGCAUUAUCUUUAUAGUUGCGACAUCAUCAAUUGCAAUGAUUUUUUUGUUGCAAUAAGAUGUAAUUAUAAUGGAUCUAUUUCGUUGGGACUUCAGUUGUCGCAACAUUUUCUCCUUGUUGCAACAUCAUUAGUUACAACGAUGUUUUUGUUGCCAUAAAGACUCGUACCAUGGAUUAAUUUUUAUAGUAAAAAUGUCAUAUAACCACGAGACACAUUAUGUUGCAAAAUGAUCAAAUGCAACGAAAAUAUUUGCAUGGCAAUACAUCUUGUUGCCACGAGUCACUUGUGUGGCACUAGUGUUUUGUUGCCAUGAAGCAUCUUGUGGUAACAAAGCCAUUUGCAACAGAUUCAAAUGUGGCAUUAACACUUAUUACCAUGAAAUAUGUUGUGGCAAUAUAGUUUUUGGCAACUAUUAUAAAUGUUGCAAUAUAACUUAUUUGCAACAUAAUAGUCCAUUGUAACGACAAACAGUUACAACACUUGAACACGUUGCAAAGGAUGUAGUAAUUGCAACAGAACGUAAAAAUGUUGCUAUAACCUAUUGCCACUCUAUUUUUUGCAACAGCAGGCAACGACAGUUGUUCUAUCGCAAUUGGUGCCUAUUGCAACGAUUUAUAGCCUAUCACAACGAUUUUUGCCCAUUGCAAAAAGGUGAUUUUUUAGUAGUGAAAAGAAAAGCGAAGAAAGGAAAGGGUAACACCUGAAUUUUGAGUACAGAGCAAAGAAAAUCUUAUUCGCCAAAAUUUAGGGUGUUACAGACCUAUCCCCCUUAAAAGAAUCUCGCCCCGAGAUUCAAGGUCGGUAGCAAAGAGUAUAGGAUACUUGGCUUUCAGAUCAUCUUCACGUCCCCAUGUUGCUUCUUCUUCAGAGUGGUGACCCCAUAUGACUUUGUAGAUUCUGAUGGUAUUCUCUAGUUGACUUUGUCUGCUGUCUCCAGAAUCUGUGUUGGUUUCUCCUCAUAUGUCAUGUCUUCUUGGACUUCCAGUCCUUCCAUUAGCAACUGCUCUUUGGGUACUCGCAAACACUUUUUCAGCUGAGACACAUCAAAAACAUUAGGCAUUGCUGAUAGAUCUUCUAGUAAGCUGAGCUGGUAUGCCACUUCUCCACGCCUUGCUAGAAUGUGGUACGGUCCAAUAUAUCGCGGUGCUAACUUGCCCUUGACUCCGAACCUUCUGACUCCUCUGAUAGGUGACACCUUCAGAUAGACAUAAUCUCCCACUUCUAAACUCAGUUCUCUUCUUUUUGUGUCAACAUAACUGCGCUGCCUUGACUAUGUUUUCUUUAGAUUCUCUCGGACAAUUUUGAUGUUCUCUUAUGCUUCGAGCAAAACUUCGGGACCAAACACCUACCUUUCUCUAGGUUGAUCCCGGAGUAGCGGAGUUCUACAACUCCUUCCAUACAGUGCCUAAAACGACGACAUCUUCAAACUGGCCUGAUGGCUGUUGUUAUAGGAGAAUUCCACAUAAGGUAACUUAUUAUCAACCUGACUUAUCUUGCAAUGCAUAGGCUCUCAACAUGUCUUCCAGAAUUUGAUUAGUUCUUUCAGUCUGAUCAUCGGUCUAUGGAUGAUAAGCUGAACUGAACUUCAAAUGCGUUCCCAAAGCUUCUUGUAGCUGCUGCAAAAAAUGAGAGGUGAACUGUGUUCCUCGAUCUAACACUAUCUUCUUCGAAAUGUCAUGCAAACAUACAAUCCGAGACAUGUAUAACUCAGCUAGCGUUGUGCCAUUGUAUGUUGUCUUCACUGGUAUGAAAUGGGCCACCUUUGUUAAGCGGUCCACAAUCACCCAAAUGGAAUCGAAACCGGCCCGGGUACGAGGUAGGCCAACUAUGAAAUCCAUCCUGAUCUCAUCCCAUUUUCCACUGAGGAAUUUGCAACGGUUGCAUAAGUCCAGCUGGUUUCUGAUGCUCUGCUUUGGUUCUCUGACAACUGUCACAAAUGGCAACAUGCUAUGCAAUCUCUAUUUUCAUUUUGAACCACCAAAACCUCCUUUUCAGGUCCUGAUACAUCUUCUUGCUUCUGGGUGUAUGAAAUUGAUGGAUUAUGGGAGACUACACUAGCGCAAAAUAAAACUUUCGACCCCAUAAAACCAGGAACUAUUGCGGUUAUAGACCAUGGAAUUACCACUAGACGCGCAGGGCAGCGGAAGACGUCUCGAUGUAGACGAACGCGUCGAGCAGUGUUGUGCAGUCGUCGGCGACCUUCACGUCCUCUCAUGGUUCAUCCUAGUGCUCUAGAUGCAGUACCUCCGAGGUAUCCACAUGUACAGGGAGGAAGCGCCGCGUUCUGAACUACUAGGUUCACGACGGUGGCUAAGCGAGGGCGAGGGGCAGGCGGCUGCUCAUUAACUAGUGAAAAAUUCGGGUUCUCUUAACCGCGCCCCUGUCCCUCAUUAUAUAGGCGUUCUGGUGGACUUCUAACUUUGAGGCCCAUUAGUAACGCUAAAGCCCUGUCUAAUUUUGGACCUAAUCUGAGUUAGGCUUCCUUCCCUUAAGUAUGUGACCCUAUAGGUUCACGUACAUAUAGACAUGGACUAAGUACUCUUACUUGGCCCAAUAAUUGACAGCGGCCUCUAGCAAGACAUGUCAAGUUCUAUACGCACGUAAAGAUCAUAUCAGACGAAAUAUUGCAACAUAAUGUACAUGUUGUUCCCUUUGCCUCACGAUAUUUGGUCUGGCUCUAAGCUAACCUCUCUUUCUCGAUACUGUGAAUUGGAAUCCUUUCAUUAGUUAACAUUUAACCCUAGCACGGUGAUGCAUUUCUUGAUCCAAUCAAUCGAGGGGCCAGAGAUAUCUGUCUCAAGAAGAGAGGGACAAAUUCCAUCUUGAUUGACCAUGCCUCACAACAUGCUUCCUGACAAACCCAAAACUACCUAUAUAACUACCCAAUUACGGAGUAGCAUUUGAUAGUCCCUAAGUAAGUCAAUUCACAACAUGCAAAAAUCUCAGGUCUAAGGGUACAGUAUACAUGUUGCAAAAUGAGAACCAUAUUACAAUAUCUCACAUUAGGUCGAUCUAGCCUCAUGUCAUACAUGCGCCCACAUUGUUUGUUUAACAUCUUCGUGUCCAUGACUUGUGAAAUGCAGUCAUCGACUAAUACAUGUGCUAGUCAUCAACUCUAACUAGGGACAUCAUUUAGAAUAACCGUACAAGUAAAGAAUCUCACAAACAAUUCACAUAAUUGCUAAUCAAUACAAGGUGCCUCUCAUGAUUAUUCAAUUAAGCAAUAUAUAUAUGUAUCAUGGAUACAAAGAAAUAUGCUCAUCUCUAUGAUUAUCUCUAGGGCAUAAUUCUAACAUGAUUAUGCUGUCUCAUGAGCUUCUUUGAGAAUUAGCUCCUGAAUGGACUUGAUGUCGGGAACACACAGUCGGUCUUUGAACCAUAUCCCGCCUUCUGCAUCCUCUAAAAGUCUUUGUCUUUUCCCUCUAAGAUUAGCUAGUGGAUCUCGUUGAUCUUUUCAUCAUCUUUCCGUCCUUCUCUGAUAUCCCGCUCUAAGGUGGGUUCCAGCUCAACUGUCACUCCCUGGGUGCUAUUCAGAAAUUCAAGACUCAGUCUGUCAAACUCCUUGGCUAACUCAUAUGGCAUCGGGUAAGCGGCCAUCAUACUGACUUGACUCUUUCUACUUAGUGCAUCCACAACCACAUUUGCUUUGCCUGGAUGGUAAUGUUUCUCCAACUCAUAGUCUUUAAUCAACUUUAGCAAUCUUUGUUGCCUCAUAUUCAGCUCUGACUUGGUGAAUAUAUACUUUAGACUUUUGUUGUCUAUGUAAACAUCACAUUUCUACCCAUAUAGGUAGUGCCUCCAUGUCUUCAAUGCAUGAGCCAAUGCAGCUAAUUCCAAGUCGUGUGUGGGAUAAUUAUUCUCAUGAACCUUUAGCUACUGGUAUGAAUACGCAACGACUUUUCCUUCUUGCAUUAGCACACAUCCUAAGCCAGUGUAGGAAGCAUCACAAUACACUGAGAACGGCUUGUAAACAUCAUGCAGAAUUAAGACAUGUGUUGUAACUUCUCUGUCAGCGCUUCAAAGGCCUCUUGGCACUUCUGGGUCCACUUAAACUCAACUUUAUUUGCUAGCAAGGCUAUCGUUGGUCUCGCAAUCUUUGAAAACCUUCAAUGAUACGCUGGUAGUAUUCGACCAUUCCAAUGAAACUUUUGAUUUCACGAACAUCUUUCGGUGCUUUCUAGUUCAGAAUAUUUGCUACCUUCUUUGGAUCCAUGACUAACCCAUCUCUGUUUAUGAUGUGACCCAAGAAUAGGACUUCAUGAAUCUAGAACUCACAUUUACUUAGCUUGGCGUAUAAUGGAUGCUCUCGUAGCCUUUGCAACAACUUUCUCAAGUGAUCUGCAUGGUCCUCCUCACUUUGAGAAUACAUGAGCAUAUUAUCAAUGAACACCACCACAAACUUGUCUACGUAAUCAAUGAACACGCUGUUCAUCAGAUACAUGAAGAAAGCUAGUGCAUUUGUUAGACCAAAUGACAUUAAUUUGAACUCAUACAACCCAUAUUUGGUGGUAAAUGUUGUCUUCGCUACAUCGGAAGGUCAGAUUCUGAGCUAAUGAUAACCUGACCUAAGAUCUAUCUUUGAGAACACACUAGCUCCUCUCAAUUGGUCGAACAGAUCUUCUAUUCUGGGCAGGGGAAACUUGUUCUUGAUUGCGACCUCAUUCAAAGCUCGGCAAUCUAUGCACAUUCUCUUCGUACCAUCACUACUAAAAAAUCACCUUCUUGCAAUGGGCAAAAAUCGCUGUGAUAGGCUAUAAAUCGUUGCAAUAGGCACCAAUUGCGAUAGAACAACUGUCGUUGCCUGCUGUUGCAAAAAAUAGAGUGGCAAUAUGUUAUAGCAACAUUUUUACGUUCUGUUGCAAUUACUACAUCCUUUGCAACGUGUUCAAGUGUUGUAACUGUUUGUUGUUACAAUGGACUAUUAUGUUGCAAAUAAGUUAUAUUGCAACAUUUAUAAUAGUUGCCAAAAACUAUAUUGCCACAACAUAUUUCAUGGUAAUAAGUGUUAAUGCCACAUUUGAAUCUGUUGCAAAUGGCUUUGUUACCACAAGAUGCUUCAUGGCAACAAAACACUAGUGCCACAGAAGUGACUCGUGGCAACAAGAUGUAUUGCCAUGCAAAUAUUUUCGUUGCAUUUGAUCAUUUUGCAACAUAAUGUGUCUCAUGGUUAUAUGACCUUUUUACUAUAAAAAUUAAUCCAUGGUACGAGUCUUUAUGGCAACAAAAACAUCGUUGUAACUAAUGAUGUUGCAACAAGGAGAAAAUGUUGCGACAACUGAAGUCCCAACGAAAUAGAUCCAUUGUAAUUACAUCUUAUUGCAACAAAAAAUCAUUGCAAUUGAUGAUGUCGCAACUAUAAAGAUAAUGCAACCGAACCAUACAACAACGAAUAAAACUGUUGUAAUUACAUAUAUUCAACCCAUAAUUUAUACGACAAUGCAUUUUGUAUUUCUAUUGGGUAUAAAAUAUUACGCAAAAAGAAUUAUAUUUCGCAUAUGUAACGUCAGAACCAAAAUUGACAACCAUAAUAUUUGUCUCUUGCCUCAUAUAUUAACUAUAUCCAUACCAUUUUGUAACAAAUAGGUUGCACCAAAUAAACAGUGACCAAAUACAAAUUAAUUUGACAAAAUAGCUCACAAUCACAACAUCCUCAUGAUAGCUUGGAUUGUGAUAACAUAGGUAAUAAACUACUCAACACUAGCAAAUGAGUGGAAGCUUUUUUGGUCCACCGUGUACCCCUCCAUCUCCUCCAUUGAUGCAAGUGAUGGUUAUCAUGACAACAAUAUCGCGAUGACAACGAACCUGUUGGAAGUGUUCAAAACAAUUAAUUAGUAAAGCUACAAUAACUUGGUUAACCAUGAGUGGAAGACUACAACUGCAGUGGCUACAUGUACAGUAACUUGGUUAAUCAUGUAGUUGCUCUCUAAGUAGAUUCAAAUGCUAUGCAAGAACUAAACCUUUUAUAUAGCACAACUCCUAGCAAGCAGCAACAAGCAGCAGCACGCAGCAAGCAUCACAACAACACUAAAAUCCAUUGCAUGCAUGACUACAAAAGAAAUAAAAAUAGGAAGUGCUCCAUUGGAUUGUGGACAUACCUUAAACACGCUUUGAUAGAACUUCUUAAGAUGAUCUACCUUGUUUCUAGCUUGCACUUACAGAUUGUACCUAUAAUCAUAUUCAAGAUUAAAAAACAAAACUAUCAAAAGAAUUUCAUACUAUAGUAUAUAUGACCAAAAUACAUGAACAUUUGCAUUCCAUACACAUUCACUUCUUUUGUUGCCCCUUGCCUGCACACGUCUUGUCACAGCAUUCUUUAGAGCGUAAGAGCUAAUAUAGUUCGCUGGCACAUUGUCUUUCUUAUUGUUUGUGUCUGGAGUACAAACAUUGUUUUCACUUCUUGGUGUUGGUGCAAGAGGAUCAGCUGGGAUGAGUUCAAAAGUUUCAGUUGGGAUCACUAAAGGAGGAUCGACUGGAGUGAUGCUUUCUCGGUUGGCCUGCAUUAAACAAUUGAUCAAACAAUUUAUGUUGAAUAAGUUUCCAAUAGCAAUGGUGGUAAAAGAUACAAAUAUCAAAUUUUAUACCUGUUGUGCUGCAGUAAGGGCAGCAACCAUUUCCUUCCUCAUUUCUUCUCUAAGUAGUUGCCUUUUUCUUUCUUCUUCUUCUUGCAGUGCUUGCAUUUUUUCUUGCACUAUUCUUUCUCGUUCUACAACCUCACUUGCAAGUUUUUCAUUUAAUAGUUGGACCUGGGUUUCGAGUUCAAUGUUCUUUUGGUUGGUUGCAGCCGUUGCACGAGCUUGUUCGAGGAAUUUUGAAUCCAUCACUUGUCUUCUUGUUGGAUAUCUUGAUAGGUACCCAUGACCAUGAAGCCUAUUUGCCUUGCAUCCUGUUGUUUCCUUGAAUGAUGUUUGGAAAAUUGCAUUUUCCUCUUCUCUCGUCAGAUCAAAUCCAUCAUCUUGAUAUACUUUCUCAACAAUUUUCUCACAUGCCUUCUCCUGAAAUGAACAAUGUAGUUCAAGUUUACUCAAUUCAAAUAAUAGUUUCUACAUAGUAUUUUGAAGUAUGUUUAAGUACUAAACUUUGUGAUUCACUUACAUAAAUACCACGUGAAGCCUCUUCCGACCAUUCCCCAUUUUUACAAUGAGUACUCAUCCAAAGGAUUAGAUCAGUUGGUUCUAUACCAGUUUUUGGGUCUCUCUAUGAUGCGAAGAAUGCAUUAUACAAGUUUGUCAUUAAUCAUGGAAAAUAAUGUAGUGGUCAUAUCAUUACCUGGUCAAAGCUUAUUUGGGAAAAGUUCUAGAACCCAUUAUAUGCUUUGUUCUUUGUUUCUCAUUGUUUUCCGAGUUCCGACUACUUAUUUUCUACAAAAUAAUAACAGUUGUAAAUGAAUUAAUAAAUAAAAUGCUAGAAUCAUCGAUAUUAUGCAAGUGUCAAUCAUUGUAAAGGAAAUGCUAUCGAACCUGGAAUUUCUCAGAUCCAAAAUACAGCAUCAGGUAAUGCCACUUGACGAUGUCUACAUUUUUCAGGCUUGUUUUUCAUCCUUUCAGCAUAAUUGUUGUAUGCCUUGUAUGUUGAGCUUAAUGCUGAUCGCCAUCCUUUGUACCUCUCCUUGGCAAUAGACCAUUGUUGGGGACUUGUUCUCAAAUGCUUCGAAUUAAGAACAAGGCAACACGGAAAAUGUUAAGUAUUAAGGUCCUUCGUCCUUCAUAACGAUAUAUCCCUUCGGGAUAUAUAGCAUCUCGGACGAAGGUUACAAAGAACAUACCUUCGUAAGCAUAACAAUGAAGAAUAAAGCAUUCACAUAAAUCAUGAAAUAAACAUGUAAAUAUUAUCAUAGAAUUAUCUCUACUUGUAUUAAUGAAUAUAAAUGACUUUGAAGUACAAAUGUACCUUCGGUCUUGCGGAAGGCAAAAAGUACGAAUGUGAUGCGAAGGCAAAAAGCAGGUUCGCGUGAACAGUACAGAGGUACUGUUCAUCUAUUUAUAGACACAGGUCGCAGCCUGUGACAAAUUACAAUUAUGCCCCUUGCGGAAGUUUACAACAUUGACUCGGACAUACAUGUAUAAAAAGGUCAUUCUGCCUCUAUGUCGGUUUAAAACGCCGAAGCUCCAUGAAAAGGGACCUUCGGCCAUCUCUUAGAAACGACUUUGGCCGAAGCUGCUUCUUCGUGUGAGACCUUCGGCGUACCGAAGCACGACCCCAACAGUAGCCCCUUUCGCGGUGCUAGAUCGUUCUUCGUAACGAGCUUGGCCCGUGAAAAAAAACCUCUUCAGCUUCGGGAAGCCGAAGGUCCAAAAAACACCUUCCCUGAGCUCGUUGCGGAGAAACGAUCCGACUUCCGAGCGCGUGCGAAGCCCACUUUGUAGAGUUACUGUUUGGUCUUUGCGGUCCACUGCACAGCGGGUAUGAGUUACUGCGCGCCUGGUGUAACAGUUCCACCGCUUCGCCUUCCUACCUGCAGCACUAUAUAAACAAACAGGUGGGUGUGAAGUUACCACAGCAUUCAUUGCUAUUUGCACUGUUUCGCUGCCAAAAUUUUUCACCAUAGCCGAAGCUUAAGUCUCAGAAUCGAACGAAGGUGCUUCUCAACGUCCGCUUCGUCAGAAAGAAGAGCUUCGGAGAAAAGAAAAAAGGAAAAAAGUUUUUGACUUCCCAAACUUAGAAUCAAAUGGCGAGAAUACGAUCUACUGCCAAAGUUGUACGUGAGGGAGACGAAGCCGAAGGUUCAGACACUGUGCCCAUCUCCGAAGCAAUGCAGCGUUCCGGUCUACUGACUACAGAAGAAAUGCCUGCUGCUGAAGCAGGCCCAACAACUGCCGAAGGAAAAGAAAACAUUGAAGGGACUGACUCCGAAGAUGACUAUCACCUUGCUACGCCCAGCAAGCCCAGUCACCUGGAUUUUGGGAAAUCAACUGUUUCAAAAGCUGACCUUUCGAAGAUGGUGAAAGCAGGUUAUUUCAAUGAGGACCAGAAGAAGCUACUCCGCUUCGGGGAAGAAGAAACCACCCCGAAGCCAAGGAAGGAUGAGAUUGUUAUUUUCAAGAGUUUUUUAAAAGCUGGGCUUAGAUUCCCUCUCCACGAUAUUGUUGCGGAGAUACUAAGGAGGUUUGGUAUCUACUUUCAUCAAUUGACUCCUAACGCCAUCGUUAGGCUCAAUGUUUAUAUCUGGGCCCUCCGAAGCCAAGCUGUGGAACCAUUUGCUGACAGCUUCUGCCGAGCUCACGAAUUACAUUACCAAACAAAGGCCAGAAAAGAUGGGCUACAUGAUAAUUUCGGUUGCUAUAAUUUUGCCUACCGGAAGACAACAAAGUGUCCUGUCAUCAGCUACCGAAGCAAAUGGCCAGCAGGUUGGAAAUCUGAGUGGUUUUAUGUAAAAGUCGAUGAAAACAAAGAAAAAUUGGUACAAAGCCCUCUGGAGUUAAUCUUCGGAGAGACAAGGCCACAAUGCCACAUUGGCGACCUAAAAGGUCCCACCUGGGCUGCUCUGGGUGAAUUUGAAAUUAUCUCAGAACAUAUUGGCACCAGGGAUUUAGUUCAAGAGUUCUUGGCAUUCAGAGUUUUCCCUACUCUAAAAGAGUGGGAGAUGCCGAAGCUGGAGGGAGAGAAGAAGAAGGGGGAGCUUGUCCGGCUUCCCUAUUACUUCAAGUUCAAGAAGUUCUUCAAAAAACCCUGCAAAGAAUGGUUAGACACUGUUGAGGUGAUGUGCAACGAAAUCCUGGGGAAUUACUCCAAAAAAGAGGAUCAACUAAUGACAGCAGCCUUCGGUGCCCGACCGAAACGAAGGCUGAACCGAGUGCUUGACGCCCUAGGCUUCGAAUACCCAGACUACGAACAAUUGAACAAGGGCGCCGAGGGCCUCAAAAGAAAAAGAGUAGCCGAAGCUCUGAUCAGGGAUGAAGAAAUACCAGCAAAGGAGAAGAAAGUUCUCAAGAAAAGAAAAAUAUCUGCUCCGAAGCGCAAAUCACCCGAAGAAGAGGAGACCCCCACACCGCCUUCUACCAGCGACGUGGAGGAAAUUUUAAAGGUAAUGACUGAACCCAUGCCUACGAAGCUAAGUCCACUAGGGCUCCAACUGACGAAGCUUUUUGAAAAGGUGGACGAGCCGGAUCAACCGAAGAUAAACAAACCCAAACGGCAAAGAAUUAUUGCGGUAACUGAGGUUAUCGACAAAACUCCACCUAGGUUGUCAAUUCAGAAAACGGCGGCUGCUGAAGGUAGAGCUUCGGAAGUCGCGGCUACCGAAGCUGCCACACCCGAAGAUGUAAAUUUAGAAACUACUCUUGAAAAUAUUGACAAAAUUUUGACGGAAAACAUUGAAGAAGCUGCCACCGUUACUGAAGAAAUCCUGGCCACAGUGCCAGGGAAAGGGAAAGAAAUAGUCGAAGAAACUCCGGACGACGAAGCCUAUUCUUUCCAGAAUCUAAUUGGGCAGAAACUGACGAAGGACGAAAUAGAAGAACUCAAAGACUAUGCCAAAUCUUGCGGCUACAAGCCAGGAGCCCUUCUAUUUGGGGGUGUAGAUGAUGAAAAACUAGGCUGUAUUCGAGACCAGACUGGAGCUAAGGUAAUCUGUACUCUAUCGAAGAGUAUCGGUUUUCCGAAGUUAGAGACAGACAUCAGCCGCUACCGACGACAACAUAUCGUCGGCAGCUUGUUUUAUUCUAACUUCAAGGUAAACAACCUUUUUCUCUGGUUUUUAUUGUCGUUAACAAUGAAAAUAUUACUUAACAUAAGUUGUUUCUGUUCAGAGCAUGCUACUGAGCAAAGCUCUGAAGAUGCAACAAGACUUGGAGGACAAAAAGCACGAAGCUAUAAUUGAAAACUUGGAAAGCAAAAUAAAAGAGCAAUCUGCCAUCAUUGAAAAGAAAGACUUCGAGCUCCAAUCGACCGAAGGCUUGCUGGCUGAAACUGAGGCUAAAAUAUUAGAGUUAAAUUCGAAGCUUAUCAAUCAAUCAAAACAAUUUGAUCAGGAGAAACUAGAACUGAAUUCGAAGCUUAAAGCCGAAGUCCAGACCAGCUUAGAAUUGAAGAAAGCAUUAACAAGCCUUCAAGACAAAUGCUUGAACUUUGGCAAUAAUUGUAUUGGACGAUUAAAGAAGAUAUUUUACUCUGUUGGAGCCAGCAGUGUGAAAUUUAACCCUUCGGCGGAAAAUUUACCCCAGGCCUUCGAUCAUAUUGAAGCUGAAAUCGAAGAGCUUGACGAAGUUAUAGCCGGGCACGGCGACUUCUGUGCCUGGGUAGCUUCUCGGGGUACCGCUGCUGCAUUUCUGAAGGCCGGCUGCGAACAUGGAAAGGUUGUCAAUAGGCCCAACUUCACCUUAUCUUCAUCAAUCCUGGAUGAUAUGCCCGACCUCGCCCGAAGUAUCUCCAAUAGAUUUAUAAAAAUGGUAUGGACAAAGGGCGGGCGAGAGAAAGCUGGAGACGAAGCCCGAAGUCAUCUUGAACCAGUAAGAAAUGACAUUUCGUGCUUACCUUUUCCUUUGGGCUUGAUUCUUAUGAUUCCUUGACUCAUGUAGGAUGACGAAGGUGAAGAUGAUGCCUAGGAUAUGUCGCCGAAGUUGUCGUCGAAGCUGAAGCUUAAUGAAGACUAGCAGAAGUGUGCUUUAGAAAAACUCAGGAUAAUUUUGUAACAACUCUUGUAAAUAGAAUUAAACUGUUCUUCAAGGAACUUUGUACAUACCUUGUAAUAUAUUCUUACCCUUCGAUUGAGGUGCUUUGAUGUGGACGAAAUCAGUUUUUUGAGCCGAAGGCGAAAAAACACCUUCCCUUCUUUUCGUACACAACGAAGCAUAAAAGGCCGCUUCCUCUUUUUGCCGAAGCCUUUCCUUACAUAACAAAACAUAAAAGACUGCUACUCUUAUCUGCCGAAGCUUUUAUUUACAUAACAAAACAUAAAAGACUGCUACUCUUAUCUGCCGAAGCUUUUAUUUACAUAACAAAACAUAAAAGACUGCUACUCUUAUACACAACGAUUCAUAAAAAACCACUUCUUCGAAACCUUUCUUUUACAUAACGAAUCAUAACAAACCAUUUAUCCGAAACUUUUCUCUGUGCCGAAGCAACCAUUUAGGAACACAAAUGCUAUGAAUGAAUGCUUAUGCAUGCAAAUGCCAUGAUGUAAUGUGCAAAUGAAUGUCCGAAGCGUAUGUCCGAAGCCACACUCAUCCAUCAUUUUCUUAGGAGCAAACACACGUUAGCUCUGCAUUCCCUUAGGAACGACUUUGGAGCAUCUUUGCCUUUUACUUAGGCAGUAUCAGCGUUGACUUUUCGCUGUAAGCUCUGCAUCCCCCUAGGGACGUCUUUGGAGCUUCUUCGUCUUUUACUUAGACGGUAUAAGCUCUGCAUUCCCUUAGGAACGACUUUGGAGCUUCUUCGCCUUUUACUUUCGGCGGAAUCAGCGUUGACUUUUCGCUGUAAGCUCUGCAUCCCCUUAGGGACGUCUUUGGAGCUUCUUCUCUUUUUUAGUUUCGGCACUCGAUGGUGCGCUCUCAGCUUUUACAUUUACAUUCUUUGGGGGAUUUUGCUCUUAUAAAACUAAAAAGGAAAUUACAUAUGAUGGCCCCAUUAAAAACCUUUCUCCCCCUUUAGAAAGGAAAAGGGUGCCAUGAAAAAGAAAAGAAAAGUCAAAAUUACAUCGAGUUAUACAUAAAACCGCCGAAGCUCAUCCGCAUUCCAAGAUCUUGGAAUUUCAUUGCCAUCCAUGUCCUUCAGUCUGUACGAACCAGGCCUUGACGAAGAUGCUACUAAGAAAGGCCCUUCCCAUUUCAGUUGCAAUUUGCCCACUGUAUCCGGAUUGGCCACUCUCCGAAGCACCAAGUGUCCUGGCUCAAUAUUUUUUAGCCGGACCUUUCUAUCUCGCCAUUUAACUGUUUCAGCCUGGUACUUAUUGAUAUUCUCCACGGCCUGAAGCCUGAUCCCUUCUAAGGCAUCUUUUUCCACGAGACAAGUAUCUUCGGGACCUGAUUCUGCCGAAGCUACCACUCUUAUUGAUCCAGCUUUGGCUUCUUCCGGGGUUAUUGCUUCGUCACCAAAUAACAACUUAAAUGGGGUAAAGCCUGUAGAUCUUGAUGUUGUUGUGUUAUGGCUCCAUACCACUUUGGUAAGCUGAUCUGGCCACUUUCCCCUUGGUUGAUUAAAGAUUAGCUUCAUUAUUCCUGUCAUUAUGAUGCCGUUGGCCCUUUCAACAAGCCCAUUCGACUCCGGGUGCCUGACUGACGCAAAGUGGAUCUUCGUGCCAAUUUGAUCACAAAAAUUUCUGAAUUCUUCGGAGUCAAAUUGUGUUCCAUUAUCUACAGUUAUAGCCUUCGGCACUCCGAAGCGACAGACAAUAUUCUGCCAGAAAAAUUUUUGGACAGUGGCCGAAGUUAUUGUAGCUAAUGGCUUCGCCUCAAUCCACUUGGAAAAGUAUUCCACAGCAACUACAACAUAUUUCAGAUUGCCUUGGGCCGGUGGUAAUGGGCCCAGCAAAUCGAGGCCCCACCUUUGCAAUGGCCAGAUGGGUUGUAUUAACUGUGUCAAAGACGAAGGUUGUUUUUGAUCUCUUGCACAUUUCUGACAACCUUCGCACUUUUGAACUAACUCAGCUGCAUCCGAAGCUGCCUUCGGCCAAUAAAAUCCUUGACGGAACACUUUUCCAAGUAACGGCCUGGAUCCGAUGUGGGAUCCACAAAGGCCUGCAUGUAUCUCCUUCAUCAACUCUAUACCUUCGGCUCUAGACAAGCACUUGAGCAGCGGGGCACAAACUCCAUGCUUGUAUAACUCCCCUUCUAUAAUGAUAUACGGACGAGCUCUUGCCUCUAUUCUUUUAUUAUAAGCUUCGUCAUCUGAUAGGAAUUUGCCCUGAAGGUAAGAAAUUAUUUCAGUUCUCCAAUCUUCACUGUACACAGGAGAAAUAGUAAGAACUGCUCUUUCAAGUAACUCCACUGAAGGUGCCUUUAUCGUUUCGAAGAAUACAUCCGAAGGUAGCGGCAGCCCCUGUGCUGCAGACCUGGCUAACAAAUCAGCAUGUUCAUUUUGCCCUCGAGGGAUAUUCUUAACAGAAAAUCCUUCGAAGGAAGCUUCGAUCCUUCGGACUGUGUCUAGGUAUUUUUCAAGCUUCGGGUCUUUAGCCUUGCAACUUUUGUCAAUAUGACCCGAAACAAUCUGAGAAUCAGUUUUAAGGAUCGCCCUCCUGAUCCCCAUCGCCUUUAGCUUCCGAAGACCCAGGAGCAAGGCUUCGUACUCAGCAAUAUUAUUUGUGCAGCUGAAGUCCAGUCUUGCUGCAUAGCAAGUUUUAACCUUGGACGGUGAAACCAAAACAGCAGCUGCUCCUGCUCCGAAGGUUCCCCAGGAGCCAUCACAAAACACUGUCCAUGCUUCGGCAUCUUUAUUCGCUUCUUCGCCCUGAGCCCCUGGCGUCCAGUCGGCAAUAAAAUCUGCCAAUGCUUGAGACUGGAUCGAGGAUCUGUGCACAUAAUCAAUGUAAAAUUCAUUAAGCUCCGCAGCCCAUUUUCCAAUUCGGCCAGUAGCUUCUUUAUUUCUCAUGAUAUCUUUCAACGGCUGCGAAGAAGGAACAAUAAUAUUAUAUGCCUGAAAAUAAUGCCGAAGCUUCCUGGAUGCCAUUAGAACGGCAUACAACACCUUCUCCAGUUCUGUAUAAUUUUUCUUUGAGACACUAAGGACCUCAGAUACAAAAUAUACUGGGACCUGCUUCUUGAUCUGUCCAUCAAACUUCUCCUGCACAAGUGCCGCACUUACUGCUGAGUGCGAAGCUGCCACAUACAACAACAGAGGAGCCCCUGGCAUUGGUGGAGUUAAUGUUGUUAGAUCUAUCAGGUAUUGCUUGAGUUCUUCGAAAGCUUUUUGUUGAGCUGGGCCCCAUUGAAAGACUUCAGCUGAUUUUAGCACCUCGAAGAAGGGUAGAUUUCUUUCCGCUGAUCUGGAUAUAAAUCUGUUAAGAGAUGCCAGUCUUCCUGUCAAUCUUUGGGCCCCCUUUCUUGUGGUUGGUGGCUCCAUUCGAAGUAUAGCUUCGAUUUUAUUUGGGUUAGCUUCAAUUCCCUUUGUUGAAACCAAGCAUCCAAGGAACUUACCCUUCUUUACUCCGAAGACACAUUUUUCUGGAUUCAGCUUCAGACCAGCUUGUCUGAAGCUGGCGAAGGUCUCCUGCAGAUCAGCAAUAUGGUCUUCUUGCUUCGUGCUUUUUACAAUAAUGUCAUCAACAUAGGUCAACACAUUUCUGCCUAUCUGAGAUUGGAGAACCUUCGCAGUCAUCCUGCUGAAACUCCCUCCAGCAUUCUUAAGCCCCUCAGGCAUCCGAAGAUAGCAAUAUGUACCACUUGGGGUUAUGAAACUAGUCUUCGGCUCAUCCUCCUUUUUCAUCCAGAUUUGAUGAUAGCCUGAGUAACAAUCCAGGAGACUCAUGAGUUCCGAAGAAGCUGCUGCAUCAACUAAAGAGUCUAUCCUUGGCAGCGGGAACUCAUCCUUCGGACAAGCCUUGUUGAGAUCUGUGAAAUCAAUACACAUUCUCCACUUUCCAUUGGCCUUCUUCACCAUAACAGUGUUAGCUAGCCAUUCUGGAUACUUCACUUCUCUGAUAACUCCUGCACUUAGGAGUCUUUUUACUUCGUUGCGAGCCCCUUCGGCCUUGUCAUCAGACAUUUUCCGAAGCCUCUGCUUGCGGGGUCUGAAGGAUGGGUCAACAUUGAGCGAAUGUUCAAUAACAUCCCGAUUCACUCCACAAAGAUCAUUGGCUGACCAUGCAAAAACAUCUUUAUUGUUGAAUAAAAACCUUAUCAAGGUUUUCUCUUGAUCUUCAGAUAAUUGCGAGCCCAAUAGCACCUUCUGCUCUGCUAUAUCCUCACACAGCAGCAUGGGCUUCGGCUGAUCAGCCGAAGCUGCUUUUUCCCUCCUGAACUUGUACUGUUCACAAGCUUCAACUCCAUCUAUAUUAUGGAUUGCCUUGGAAUCAGUCCAGCUUCCUUCGGCCCUUCUGGCAGCUUCCUGACUCCCAUGAAUAGCAAUAGGCCCUUGGUCCGAAGGUAUCUUCAUGCAGAGAUAAGCUGGGUGAAGAAUUGCUUCAAAAGCAUUUAGGGUACCACGACCAAUGAUGGCGUUGUAGGGGUAUUCCAUGUCAACAAUAUCAAACACAAUUUGCUCAGUCCUUGUGUUAUUAACAAAUCCGAAGGUUACCGGCAUGGUAAUCUUCCCGAGUGCCACAAUCUGCCGCCCUCCGAAGCCACAAAGAGGGUGCGUAGCAUCAUGAAUCUUGUCUUCAGGCUCUUGCAUCUGUCUGAAGGCUUUGGCAAAUAUAAUGUCAGCUGCACUGCCUGUGUCAACUAGAACAUUGUGAACCAGAAACCCUUUGAUCACACAAGAAAUGACCAUAGCAUCAUUGUGAGGAUAGUCCUUGAGCUGAAGAUCUUCCUGAGAGAAGGUAAUUGGAAUGUGAGACCAUUUUGACUUAAUGAAGGGUCCCUGCACUCCAACAUGCUGCACCCUUCUCUGAGCCUCCUUCUUCUGCUUUUUGUUAGCUGGCUCUGAGCAAGAACCGCCUGUUAUCGGGAGCACCAGCUUCGAAGCCGAAGCAGCUCCAGCUUGAGUGUUGAACGAAGCCAUCAGCUCAGAAAGGUGGAAGUGAGUUGACCGGAGGUGGGCGCCAAUGUUGGGGACUUGUUCUCAAAUGCUUCGAAUUAAGAACAAGGCAACACGGAAAAUGUUAAGUAUUAAGGUCCUUCGUCCUUCAUAACGAUAUAUCCCUUCGGGAUAUAUAGCAUCUCGGACGAAGGUUACAAAGAACAUACCUUCGUAAGCAUAACAAUGAAGAAUAAAGCAUUCACAUAAAUCAUGAAAUAAACAUGUAAAUAUUAUCAUAGAAUUAUCUCUACUUGUAUUAAUGAAUAUAAAUGACUUUGAAGUACAAAUGUACCUUCGGUCUUGCGGAAGGCAAAAAGUACGAAUGUGAUGCGAAGGCAAAAAGCAGGUUCGCGUGAACAGUACAGAGGUACUGUUCAUCUAUUUAUAGACACAGGUCGCAGCCUGUGACAAAUUACAAUUAUGCCCCUUGCGGAAGUUUACAACAUUGACUCGGACAUACAUGUAUAAAAAGGUCAUUCUGCCUCUAUGUCGGUUUAAAACGCCGAAGCUCCAUGAAAAGGGACCUUCGGCCAUCUCUUAGAAACGACUUUGGCCGAAGCUGCUUCUUCGUGUGAGACCUUCGGCGUACCGAAGCACGACCCCAACAACCAUAUCUUUUCAUGUGCGUCCUCAUUUCUUGGAAACUCCCACCUUCGCUGUUUCAGUUUUGAUACAAAGAGAUGGUUAAUUGUCUAGUAAUUUGUGAACAGUUGACCAUAUCUUAGUAGAUCAUACCAAACCAAAUUUGAGAUGGCUUAAUCUCGGGUGAAGUAGCGGUGCCAUAGCAUGCUAGGCAACUAAUAGUUACUAAAGAAAUUGCACAUACCAGUACGUCAGAUGCUAUAGAAGAUCUAACAUUGAGCUCUAUAUCUUUCCACUUUUUCACUCCAAUGAGUGGUGCCUUUUUCUUUGUAAACAAUACGAUUUCAUCCCCAAAAGUGCGAGUGUUUGGUCCUACGGGACCUCCAAGCUUAGAUGAAAAUUCAAUCUUAAGUUUGUGAUCGCCGUUCUUGAUUCGCUUGGUAGCUGCUGCUAUACCCUUAAGGGUACCACGCCCCUCCUUUUUGAAGACUCCAUCGUUAUCUACAUAUAUACCAAUAACAUAUGAAUGGGUAGAAAUAUCCAAAGUAGAAGAUUGCAACAUUUGAAUAAAAAACACUCUUAGUAAAAUAUACCAGGAUCUCUUUUCCUAUGACGUCUAGCAUGAGAUGGCCAAUCAGCCGUAGGUUUGCCGCUGCCAUGAAUUUCUUCAUCUGAUAAUAUUAGCUCAUCAUUGCUUUGUCAUACAUACAAUACUGCGGAUAGCAUAGGCAUCAGUUAUGUCUCUAACAAUUUGCAAAAAUAUACACUAUAUGUUAGUACGCUGUAAAUAAAAGAAAUUACAGAUAUUUGGAAGAUCGCCUUGAUGCCUUAACCAUUCUUUAUAUGUUUUGAUCGUAUCCUCCCUAAAGUCAUCCAUUAAAUCUGCACUUAAACAAUACGUAAGUUUAACUGUGGAAACUAUAACAUAUCAUGUAUUUAAUGUAAUGAGUUUGACAUCUUAACUUACCCAUUUCUGGAUUAUCAUGUUGUAGUAUUGCAAGCCACUCCUUAUAUGCAUCAGUCGACACUUCUAUAGUUUCUUCGUCAACAUUUGUUCGCUGCCUUGGACGCUUGAUGGGAGUUAUGCUUACCUCUAGAUCACUGGGUGGAUCUUUUGUGAGCACAAAACUUAUUUUUCUCUCAUCCACGUUAUCAGAUAGCAUGGCCUCUUCUUGGUGGAUGUAAUCAAGUGCCAAUAGCCUGGAUCGAUCAAUGCCACAUCGUUUCUUGUAAAACAAGAAGUCCCUCCCAGAAUAUCCAAGUUUCGAUUUUAUGUACACCAUGUUGUAAAAGGCAACAUAAGCUUUAUCAAUAUUUAUUGUGACAAUUUUUUUCCAGGUUGUGCUCCAAUGCAAUGGAAUUUCAAGGUCCAUAUCUCACCUGUCAACCUGCCACACAAAUAUAUUUUAAGCAAUAUACUCUAAUUAUGAUCUGCGCCAAGGCCAAAGUAGUAGAGAACAAUCUAGGUAGAUAGAUUUUUACUUAUUAGGAAGAUCAAAGAAGAUGUUCUUCCAGCCAUAAUCUCGUCCACAAUUUGUGUACCAAGUUGGCUACCAUUGUCGUUGGUGCACAAAUUAGCUUCAUUGCUUGUCGGUGGCAAACCUCCUUGAGUCGCCAUCAUAGUUAGGGAAAAUAGAUGCUAACAGGGCAAGGAAAGAAAAAUCAUGUAAGUAUAACAAUAGAUUAUUUAAUGGAAUUAUGUGCAGUAAUUUUAGUGACAGAACACGAUCCGGGUACCAUGACACAAGAAAAAUUAAGUUUGCAUUUGCUACCGUAAAAAACACCAGACAGAGGCCUAGUUUGAUAUCUUGAUCUACACUGCAACAGGUCUAAUAUAAUCUCCUAUGAACAAACAAAUUUAUUCAAAACAACGAUGCCAAUAAGUCACACAAACACUCUCAACGCAGUAGCGCACAUCAGACUAACAGAGAUGAGUGGGUAGUCACUAGUCAGGGACUAUGCAAAAUCGGACAAUAGGUGGAGGACAUCGGACUAACAGGAAAUCAUAUAAAUCAACUAAGUCCCGCAACGAUGUAGAGGAGUGCAAGGAACAAGGAAGGGCCUUUUGGCCUAAUCAAACUCACCGCUGCGGUUGCUUGGAGUGGGCACAGACGAGCGGAAGCUACACGGACUCCAUGAAAGAUGAGUGUGUGAUCUCCUAGUCGGCGGCCCUCGACGGUGGGGGAGGGACGGAUGGGACUUGUUGUGGUUUGGCAUUUUGGUGCGGGGUAGGCGGGUUUUCUUGAUUUCUUCUCUUGUCCGCUUGCUCCUCGGGGAUUGCCUGCUGGAACCGGAAGGGAGGCAGGAGCUGCGACCGGCUGGGGCUGGACCCUGAAUGCUUGGUGUUUGACAGAGAAGACAAACGGUGGCGGCUCCAGCUUGACAGAGAUGAUGAGACAAUCUAGUAGAGAAUAAUCAGAGGGAGACUGAGCCGGCCGGAGGUGCUAUUGGGCCUCAGGCUGCCGCCACGCUGCCACCCAGCUCGAAACCCUUGUAGUAGAGCAGAUUAGGAAGGAGAAAGGAGGAAUGGAAUGCCUGCCAUUGCACCCUUGCCAUUUGGGAACUAAACUGACGAGUGGAGGCUGGAGUGGUUCUACGAUAUGCAAAAACAAUGGACCAUGCCAAAACAAAAAUUCUCAAUGUUAUGGUAAGUUACUUAGUAGUUCAGCCAAAACAACAUGGUAUUACACAUAUUUUUUGGUAAAAAAACAAUAACUUCUAAGCUAUGCAUUUCAAAGUUUAGAUGAUAUGUGGUAAGGUGCUUGGAUGACUGUAGAAGUUGGUAUAGAAUAUUACUUAUAUUAUCUUAAUUUCAAGUCUGCAAUUAUGUCAUCUAUGCGAAUUUUUGAAGCAAAACUUAAUUUCACCAUUCAUCGGUUGUGUGGCAUCUCUAUUUUCAAGACUACUAAAAUAUCAUCAUGAGACCAACAUCCAUGGAACGUUGUUGCUUUAAGUUGAAUUGGCUAACCUUUUGAUUUAAUUUUUGUAACAUGUGCCAUUAUUUCCUAAGUGUGCAUCCAUAUCAGUUCAAAAGAGUAUGAAAAGUCAUGCCCAGGUUGUAUUCCACUAAAUUUUAUUUUGAAAAGCACCAAAUUAUAAAGUAUGGCUUAUGUUAUGAUAGCAAUGGCACUAAGUUGUUGUGACUGACACAAUUUCUAUGGCAUGACUUUGUCUGUUAGAAACAUAUAAAACAUCAAUCAUGUACCAACUGUACCGAUAAGGCUGCCAAUUUAAAAUCAAAGUUAGCUUCAUGAACUAUGAUAGCACGAAGAAACAACACGCAGGUGCAAAACUUGACCACCUAAGAAAUUGCAAAAUUAAAUAGGUAUUAUUUAGCACAACAACACACAAGAAGCAAAUCCACAAGGAACUGGAUGGAGGAAGGCAGCAGACGCAGGAGAAACAUUUUGAUUCCAGGGCUCAUAACAGAGAAAAUAUUACACAUAACAUAGCAAGAUGAUGCAUUUGUGGAAGCAAUCUAGACUUCCUAACCAAGCAUAAUAGGAGCAAGCAAACCAAGCAGUGGCUCAAGAACGAAGUACUAAAAACCAAAGCACGAGGUGGAUCGAGAUGGACGUACCAGUGGAUGUGCCACUGGGCACAUCCCCCUCGCAUAGCUGCUGUCACUGAGGCCCACAUCCACCUGUGCGCAGUUGCACGACACCUUCAUAGCGCGGGGGACCGAAGCUGGAGGGAGUAAGUUGGAUGCCUGGAAGGAGCACCCGAAUGUGUAGCCCGCCACAUGCCAUUGUCGCCGUGGUUACUGUAGUGCGAGUGGAGGGUCGUGUAGGCCACGAGGAGAAGGACGUGGGUUGUGAGGUCGGCGAUGCGGGUUGUGAUGUUGGUGAUGCGAUGGUCGAGGAGGCAGCGGCAUUCCAAUAGGCAUGUGGCGGUGGAGCAUGGUGGAGAAAAUGAGACUUGGAUGAUUGGAUCUCCUUCUAGGCCUGCGCAUCAAAGCAAGGGGAGGAAAGGGGCGCCGCGGUGAGGCCGUGAGUCAGGGACGCGUGUAUCGCGGAGGCGAAUGGCGGCGCGCGUCGAUCUGAGGAUGGGUGGGAGUUGUACGGACCUAUAGGGGAGGAUCCGCCUGCAGGUCCGUGACACCGCGACGGUGUCGCACCAGCACCUCGUGCAGCGCGAACGCCUCGUCGGCGGGGGACACCGCCAGCGCGAGGGCAUCGGAGGGCAAGGGCCGCCUGCCGAGGGCAACGCACGAGGGGGCCGACGAUCCCGCCGUAGAGCGGGCACGCAUCGUCGGAGGUAGACGUAUGAGUGCGGGCACACGUGCAUCUGGUGGGAGAAGCGCGCGCAUGGGUGGGCCUGCGGGAGGAGGCGGCGCCGAAGCGAAGAAGACAGGAGAGCGGGGCAUCGAGGUGGCUCUCGGAUGAGGGCGAUGGCGUCUAUGCGCAUCGGGUAGGGGGUGGGGGCAAUGCCUUGGUCUCCACUAUCGUCUUAAUAGAUAGUAGAGAUGAAGAGGAACGAAGGAUGAAUUCCCACUAACAAAACUGAACGAAGGAUGGCUUACAACAGUAUAAAUAAAAAAGAUAGAGUAGGUAAUAGGUGCGGUAAUAGGCUCCUUUUUUGCCUAAAUUUAGUGCGUCACAUUACUAUAAUUACAUAUUUGUUUAAAUUAGUUUUAAUUAAGAUAAAUAGUUAGAAUAUAUGAAGUAUUUUAUAUGACAAUGGUAAUACAUUUACAUAGUACGACCAAUCUUUAUAAAGAGUAGCAUUUUUAAGAAAAGACGUUGGUUUUUAUUUUCGUUGCAAGAUAUGAAUUUAAACAUAUGAAAAGAAAUAUCAGCUGUUCGAUAGGGUUGCUCGGUGGCUACUUACCUACCCCUUCUGGUUCUGCGUGUUCUAUCUGCAAUCAACGACGGCGCGUCUCGACGGUACUGCUAAUUAGCCUCCUAGCCAGCCUCCGCCUGGAGGUCCAUCCCCGACCUCGACGCUUCCCGGCCAAACGCCGACGCCCCUCACCCUCGGCGCAGCGCCGCAGCGUCGCGGUGCUCCAUACCCAUCCCCCUCCAUGGUCGGCGCCUGCAUCCCCCGGCAUCGCGGUGCUGGAUCCCCUCCCUCUCUCGCGUUACGCUAGAGUUCGAGAAGGGGAAAAGCGACGUAGGGUUCGGCAACGACACCUCUGUGUCCCCUCCUCCCUCGCGCACUCAUUUUCCUUCGUCUCGUUGCUACUCAGAGGUUUGACACACUCUCCAAUCUACGUUUCCUAGCUGCUAGGGCUUUUAUUUUUGCAUGCCUCUUCUUACUCUCCGAAUUCCUCUUGGUCGCCUGGCAAAGUGCGUUCCAUCCGAGCGGUGAUGUGAGAUGUGUCCCCCCUAUUCUUCAUCGGUUUGCUUGCAAUGAUUGAGAUAGAUGUGCUCAUUCGCCUUGCAGAAAAUGAAAAAUAAAGAUAUCUGUGAGUAUCUCACAAACCUAAUAACUUAAAGUAUAUAACUGUAUUUUAUUUCUGACUUGACAGUUCCUCUUCAUUUUGUCAGUUGUGCCCAGAUUCAGAGAUGGUUUGACUACCUAAUCAUAUAUGCAUGGUACGUACUAGCUUCUGGUAAAUAUGUGCAUGGGUUCUUUUUCUUACAUAUUUGCUUUCUCUAAAUCUCGGAGCUCUUCCUAUCAAAGCUGAUAUGCAGGAGUUUGUAAAUAUAUACAUACUUUCUUUCACAGAAAUAUCCACUCUCUGACCCCUUAUGUAGCUAAUCUCUUUCUGAAUAAUGUUGAAAAACAAUCAAGUCUGACAGAGACAAGAUCUUAACCAAUAUUUCUACUAGUACUAAUGCUUUGUGGACUCUACCGGUCAACCUCCUUGGCAUUAAACCACAACUCAGUACUACUUAACGCUCACAAACUAAUAGCCCAAUAACUAGACAUAGUACAUCAAUGUAUUAUUUCUACUAAUGCUUCGUUGUACCUAUAGAUUUUUGCACACAACACUUCAUUUCACGUGGCACUUGGGUGUUCAAUUUCAAUGUAUUAUUUGGUUUUUGAGCUGCAACAAGGGUGUGUUCCUAUUUUGUCUGAAAGCAAACAUAGGUGACUUCUGAAAUGACACACAAACGAAAAAACUUUCCAGGUUUGCUGUUAAUGGCUCAAAACAAGAUGAAACCAUGUCCUAUUUAGAACACGAGAACCUGCAGAUUUUUUUAAUAAAAAGUUUAUAGAUAUUAGUGUGCAUUUACUUCCACACGCGAGCCACUGCAAUGUUGUCCAUUAACUUUAUAUAUUAUCGUAAAUGCUUUAAUCUCUUCUAUGCCAUCCUUCCCUAUUAUCACCAUUAGUUCACAUUUAUUUUGACUAACGGACACGAUGUGUAAUUUUUUGCAGGUACAACAGCCAUAAAACUGAAUUUUAUUUGGCUAGAACCUGAAAUGGCGGAAACUCUCAGGAAUCAUGGUGCAACCGUGCAUGGAUCACUUGUCUAAACUAGUUACAUCAUUUUGAUUAAGAAUAAGGAUUACCUGAUGGUUGUCUCCUAUUUUCUGUUGUAGUGCAAACCGUCUAAAGCUGACUGUUGGAUGGGGUUGGCGAAGGUGUGCUUGAAUAAGGAUCACCUGAAGGCGUGGAGUCCCUGGCUGCUGGUUGUUGUGUGUCCUGGCGGGCGACAGUUUGAAUCCCCUGCAGGCAGUGGCGGCUGUAAUAUGUACUAGUAUAAGCAUGCAGACAACAAUUGGAAAUUGUAUGAUUCAUGUGAUCAUUUUCCUUGUAUCUUUUCUAUUGUUGGUUAUAUAUCAGAUUUUAGAAGAUUCUUGUGAUCCUUUUCCUUGUAUUCUUUUCUAUUGUUGGUUAUAUAUCAGAUUUUAGAAGAUUCUUGUGAUCCUUUUCCUUGUAUUCUUUUCUAUUGUUGGUUAUAUAUCAGAUUUUAGAAGAUUCAUGUGAUCCUUUUCCUUGUUUUUUAUUCACCUGCGUGUUUUAUUGAUGUGUGUCUGAGAGAACAGAAACUUCUAGAUUGUUCUUUGUAUUUUUCUUGUAACAUAUCAAUAAAUUGAAUAUAUUUUCCAUCGCGAUCCAGACACAGAACGCAAAGUUGGAUCACGGCUUAGACAUGUCGCGCGCGGCAGGUCCGUAUAUACUACGAUUCCCUUGGCCUUGCGCAGACAUGAGAGUAUAUGACAUAAGGUGGCCUCACCCUCCCUGCACGCCCAGUCGGUUUGGAUGAAAAAAAAAGAAUUCUACGCACAUGCCGCGUCUCGCUCUACACUGCUACUAAUGCUACCACUUUACUGAUGUUGUAAUAUCCAGUGAGCCACUAGGGACAUUUUGCAACAACUGUUCUAGUGAUAGCAAUAACAUCUUUCUCUUGCAACGAAAGUCAUGAUUAUUGCAACGACAAAUAAAGUGGCAAAAAUGUGCAUAUAUUGCAACUACUUUUAAAGGCUGUGGCAAUAACUAACACGUAAUGCUACAACUUUACUGAUGUUGUAAUAUCUGGUGAGCCACUAGGGACAUUUUGCAACAACUAUUCUAGUGGUAGCAAUAACAUCUUUCUCUUGCUACGAAAAUCAUGAUUAUUGCAAAGCACAAGUAAAGUGACAAAAAAGGUGCAUAAAUUGCAACCACUUUUAAAGGUUGUGGCAAUAACUAACACCUAAUGCUACAACUUUAUUGUUGUUGCAAUAUCCGGUGUGACACUAGAGUAAUAUUGCAACAACUGUUCUAGUGGUCGCAAUAACACCUUUCUCUUGCAACGAAAGUCAUGGUUAUCGCAAUGCACAAAAAAGUGGAGAAACGGUCCAUAUAUUGCAACCACUUUUAAAGGUCGUGGCAAUAAAUAACAUCUAAUGCAACAAAAAUAUUGUUGUUGCAAUAUCUGUCGUGGCAUUAGGGUGAUUUUGCAACAACUGUUCUAGUGGUCGCAAUAACACCUUUCUCUUGCAACGAAAGUCAUGGUUAUCGCAAUGCACAAAAAAAGUGGCAAAACGGUCCAUAUAUUGCAACCACUUUUAAAGGUCGUGGCAAUAAAUAACAUCUAAUGCAACAAAAAUAUUGUUGUUGCAAAAUCUGUCGUGGCAUUAGGGUGAUUUUGCAACAACUAUUCUAGUGGUCGCAAUAACACCUUUCUCUUGCAACGAAAGUCAUGGUUAUCGCAAUGCAUAAAAAAGUGGCAAAACGGUCCAUAUAUUGCAACCACUUUUAAAGGUUAUGGCAAUAAAUAACAUCUAAUGCAACAAAAAUAUUGUUGUUGCAAUAUCUGUCGUGGCAUUAGGGUGAUUUUUUAGUAGUGCAUCUUUCUUCUCUACAAACAACACUAGAGCGGCCCAAUGAGAGGUGCUAGGUCUGAUGUAGCCCUUCUCCAACAACUCGUUUAUCUGCUUCUUGAGUUCCACCAACUCCGGCCCGGACACUCUGUAGGCUCUGUUAGAAAUGGGGGGUGCCUGGGAUAAGCUCUAUGGAAAAUUCAACUUUUCUCUUAGGUGGCAUGCAUGGUAACUCCUUGGGGAACACAUCUGAGAAUUCUGGUACUAUUCUGAUGACUUCGAGUGGAUUGACUUCCUCACUAUUGACAGAUAUCUGGUGACAGCUUCCUUUCCUUGGUUCAGACAAGAUCAGCUCCACCAAAACUUCUUCUCCUCACAAGGACACCAACUUCACAGUCAUCUUAUCACAGCUAAGGUCUGCUUGGUACUUGGUCAACCAAUUCAUCCCUAGGAUGACAUCAAUCUCUAGAUCCCGAGUACCCAUUACUAUUAGAUUGGUGGGGAGCUCUAUCCCCCUUAUUUUGACUCUUGCAUUUGGACAAAAUUUAUCUGUUUUGAUCCUCCUACCAAUUGAACUAACCCUCAUAAGCGGGAACAUGGGUGCUACUGAUAUGUUGUGUGUUUCUACCCAUGAUGCAGUCACAAAAGAACAUGUGCCUCUAGUAUCAAACAACACAUUUGCAGGAAGAGAUUCGACUGAGAACGUACCUAGUGCCACUCCUGGGGUCUCCUAAACUGUGUCGGCCUCCAGGUGGUUCACCUUUCCAUACUGAGGAUGCGGUUGGCCAUGGUUGCUUGCUCCCUGCUAAGUGCAUUCUGUCUUGCUGGGGCAUUAGGAGCUGGCUACUGCUGAGCCAUCUUCUUUGGGUGCUGGAUUGCCCAGUGGCCUUGCUCUUUACAAUGGAAACAUCCUCGACCUCCUACUUGCAUUGGGGCUGCCUGGUUGUUCUGAUUAUCUACUGGGUAGGAAGUUGAGGUGCUUGGCUAUUCUAAUGGUACUAUUGUGGCUAAUGAUACUACCUCUAAGCCUAUUGAUGGUUCUGACACUAGUUCUGCUACUGAUAUCACUACGGGUGGCCAUGCUUGAACUGCUGAGAUGAAUUGCCUGAGAAACGUGGGCGACUGUUGCUCCUAGGCUGGGUCCACUCAUCUUGCGCUUUCGGUCUUCCAUCUCCUUGCGCUUUCAAAAACAGUCACGAUUGCUCUGUCAAUCAUAUGUUGGAAGGUAGGGAUGGUAUGAUUCAUCAGCUGGUAAUGCAGGGGAUCAACCAAACCUCUCAGGAAUCGGUACUGCCUCUUUACAUGGGUGUUGACAUCUUCAGGUGCAUAGCAAGACAACUGUAGAAAUCUGUCUCGGUACAUACUGACGAACAUGGGUCCCAGCUUCAGUGCCAGGAGCUUCUCCUUCUUCACUAUCAUAAGGCCCUCUGGAACAUGAUAUCAGUGGAAAUUUUCUCUAAAUUCCUCCCAAGUGAUAGCUUCAGGGUCGGCAUGGGUGGUGAUGUAGGACUCCCACCAGGACUGAGCUGCUCCCCUUAGCAGGCGAUGACCAUAUAGAACCUUCUCUCUAUCAUUACAUUGGGCAGUGUGCAGCUCCUGUUCCACCGUGUGCAGCCAGUAUUUGGCAUCCAUGGGGUCAGAAGAGUGGGAAAAGAUAUGGGGAUGACCUCUCAUGAACUUCGCACGCUUGUCCCUUGGCAUCUGAGGCAUCUGCAUCUAUGGUUGAGGUUGAGGUUGCUGUUGUGCUUGCUGCAUAGCUGCUAGAGUUUGCCCAAAUGCUUGCACUGCUUGGGUGUGCAUGAAGGACAUCUGCUCCACUGUCAUUGGGGUGGCGAUGGAGGCAACUGAUAGGGUGCCUCAUCUUGCGGGGUAGGCUGCUCCUGCUGAGUAUGCCUCCCUCCUCGGUGCCUGUUGUCAAACAUUUGUGGAAGGCAUUCACACAUCAGAACUGAGCUUGCAAUCUUUCAGCAUAAGAAAAGGCAUACAGAGAUCUUCACAACACUGAAUGAACAAACAUCUUCACUGAUUCUCAACACAGCCAAACACAACUUCUCACAUAAAGAGGAAAGUAUAAUUAAAAGGCUUCCCAACUAAAUAACUAACUUUACUAACACUAUAACUAAACCAAACUGCAGGGAACACUCACAUUUUGGUGAUAGUCAUUACAAAUAUCCAAAUCCAUCAUAGGUUCACCAUGACAAGCAUAAAACGUAGGACGAGAAAACUAUCCUGACUAACUAAGACUAAAUAAGACUAAGACACUUGACUUAAGAAUUUAUUACAAACUUUGAUGCUAGCGGUCUAAUGAUCCAAAUCUAUCUUGGUUCUGCAGUCGGGAGUGCCAUAAGCAUGGUACCCUCGCGUCGGUGAGCGGUAUGGGUGUUAAGUCCCAACGGGGGCGGGAGAACCAUACUCCUAGUGAUGGCGCUCUGCGUGCUGAACCCGCAACUCCACGAUCUCAGCAUGAGCCCUACUAAACUUAUCAAGAGUAUGGUCCAGCUCGGUGUUGAGCACAGCGACUAGUUUGACUAUACUGUUCAACCUAGGAUUUCCUUCACCUAUAGGUGAUACAAUCACACUUCCAGUACUGCUAGUCGAGCGACGAGGUUAGUACUUCAGGUUAAGACUGCCAGCCACCCCGCUGAACAAUGAGCAGUACUGCGAAAGUGCAUGUCGUGCAGCAUCCUGCAUGGUUGCCUCUGCAGUGUCCCUCUCAGGGAUAGAAUAGUGCUCUGAGCAGACCUCUGCACCCUAGAGGUCAUCCUCUGAAUGACGCAACAAAUUCUGAAGACUUCCACUGCACUCUGGUAUUAGUGUACUCACUUCCAAGUUCAUACUUAUGCUCUCAUUGCCUUUUUGCUCUUAAUUGACAUUUUUGGUGAGGCAAUGGGGUUAAAGGGCCAAACCUGAUCCCGUUUUGGUGCUUAAUGCCAAAGGGGGAGAAAUUAAGGCCAAAGCAAAUGGAUCCGCCAACCACUUGAGAAUUUUGAAAAUAGUAGAGUUAGAAUUUUUGAUUUGUCCAAAAUACUCUAACUGCAAAAUUUGGUCUCUUGUGGGGGAGAAUUUUGAUUAUGAGAAAAAGGGAGAGUUUUUGACACUUGAUCAAUUUCACUCUUGGAUUAUCUCUCUUUGUGCCCAAACAAGCGUGUUUGACUUAGAGAUAGGAAAAUGAUUUGAUUUGCAAAAACAAACCAAGUGGUGGCAAAGAAUGAUCCAAAUAUGUCAAAUCUUAUGCAAAAAUGAUUUGGUCCAUUUGCAUUGUUGUUGAACUUAUUUUGGUUGCUUUUUGAGGUGUUGGCAUAAAUCACCAAAAAGGGGGAGAUUGAAAGGGAAAUGUGCCCUUGGGCAAUUUCUAUAAUGUUUUGGUGAUUAAGUGCCCAAUAUGUUUAAUUAAGUUCUUAUGUGCCAAAUAAAGUGAGAAGUGCAAAUCAAGGCAAAAGGAAUGUUUCUAGACUUGGUAAAUUGUUUUAUGUACUAACAUGGUUAUCCAAGUGCUAGAAACAGUGACUAAAGAAGAAGAGAGGAAAAGGGAAGGACUUGGCUCUGUGCAGCCAAGCUUCAGCUCGGUCUGGCACACCGGACUGUCCGGUGGUGCACCGGACUGUCCGGUGGUGCACCGGACUGUCCGGUGGUGCACCGGACAGUGUCCGGUGCGCCAGGCUGGUUCGCGGUGAACUCGCCGCUCUCGGGAUUCGACGGUGGCGUACGACUAUAAUUCACCGGACUGUCCGGUGAGCCAACGGUCGCCAGCGCCAACGGUCGGCCACGAAAUCUGCGGGCGACGCGUGGCAGCUCCAACGGUCGAUGGGGGGCACCAGACUGUCCGGUGCGCCAACGGGCCUGGAGCUGCAACGGUCGUCUGUGCCCAAUUUGGAAGGAAAUUGCGCACCGGACAGACUACAGUAGCUGUCCGGUGGCGCGCCGGAGUGUCCGGUGCACCACUCGACAGAAGGCAAGGAUGGCCUUCCAUGUUGAUCUUCAACGGCUCCUAGCUGCCUUGGGGCUAUAAAAGGGACCCCUAGGUGCAUGGAGGAGUACACAAAGCAUUCUCUGAGUAUUCUAAAUCAUCCAGACUCCGCUUCCGCGCAUUCGCUUCAUUGUGCUAGUGAUUUGGGCUCCAUUCGAGUAGUGCACUCUCUGAGUUGUCAUUUGAGCUCAAGUCGUCACUUGUGUGCGUGGUUGUGCUGCGUAUUUGAGUCUUGCGUGUGUUGCUUCUCCCAACCUUACUCUGUGCUUUCUUUGUGAUCUUUAUUGUAAGGGCGAGAGACUCCAAGUUGUGGAGAUUCCUCGCAAACGUGAUAAGACUCUAAAGGAAAAGACCGUGGUAUUCAAGUUGAUCAUCGGAUCACUUGAAAGGGGUUAAGUGCAACUCUCGUCCAUUGGAACGCCACAACGUGGAAGUAGGCAAGUGUUACUUGGCCGAACCACGGGAUAAAAUCGCGUGUCUCUUGUGUUGCAUUCUCUGUGAUUGUUUUGUCCACAAGAACUCAUCUCAUAACUACUUAGUCGCACUAACACUUCUAUAACUAAGUUUUGUGGCUAUUUAGUGGUUGAUUAUACAUGAUCACCUAUUCACCCCCUCUAGGUGCUCUCACUUAUCCCAUUCAUAUUUUCAUGCUGGAAAUCAGUUUCUUGGAUUUUUGGUGGAUAUCAUUUCUUCAUGAAAAAUACAUAGGAAUUAGCCUUUGGUACUAUCAAAAACGGUCAUUCGUGGUCGUUUUCAGCCAAAACUAUUGGCCGUGUACUCAAGGAUCUUUGGUGAGAGGUUCCUAUUACUUACCCCAUACAUAUUUCCUUCUUAACAUUUAGCUUCUUGUAUUUUUGGAAGAGACUUUAUUCAUGAAAAAUCCAUAGGUGUUAGCGUUUAGUAUUGUCGAAAAUAAACGUUCAAGCCUGUCAUGGGUGUAGUAAAUCCAAAGGACUCAUUGUUUAUGAGCAGAAACUAGAUAGAAAAAUAUUGUCUCAGCUAGGUACAUCAUAGUGGCCCUAGAAUGUCUGAGACUCAAUAGAUCUAGACAUCAAAAAACCUGAAGUUAGUAAACUAGCUAACAAAAAAUGUGAAACAUGAAACCGGCCCGAGAUCAUGGGAUGUCCAAAAUCUACACAAGAAAAUGGAUUGAAGAAACAACACAUGCUUGAGUGUCUAGAUUGCCAUGUUUGACAUGUCGGAACCAACAAAAGUGUAGAAAUCAUAAUCCGAAAGGAGCAAAAGGAGUGGAACAAGAGUGAAGAUGAUUUGUUGUUUAUAGUUUACUUUAUUUUAUAUAAGAAUUUAAUAAGGGAGUUGAACAAGAGUGAAUGUGAUUUAUUGUUUAUAGUUUUUAAAGGGCAUGGAGUUGAACAAGAGCGAUGUUGAUUUGAUGUUUAUAGUUUUUAAAGAUUAUUUGAUGUUUAUAGUUUUUUAUAAGGAAAUAAGUAGGGAACUGAUGAUGACUACAUGCUUUUGCUUUUCGUUUCUUUUUUUAUGAGAGGAGUGCAUGUCAUGCGUUUGUUUUGAACUUUUGCAUGAGAGGAAAAGAGCUAGGACCUACUUAUAGCAAUGGUAUACAUGUGUUUGUCUUUGAACUAGCUGGCCAGGGUUCUUUCAAGGAACAAAAAUAGGCCGGCCAGCGAUGUCCGUGGCGUGCCAUACAUCAAUGUCUAGCUCCCUUGCGUCCAUUGUCCAUAAAUACAUGCGCAUCUGCAACAUCGAUCUCCACACACACACAUCCAUCAAAGAAACAGGCACACAAGAACAAAUACCUCGCUACCAACAAUGGCCUCCAGGUCCUCCAUCCUACUUGCAACGUCGAUGCUGGCUGCGCUGUUUGCGGUUGGUUUGUGCACCACCCCGCUCACCUUCCAGGUUGGCAAGGGAUCCAAGCCUGGCCACCUGAUCCUCACCCCCAAUGUUGCAACCAUAUCCGACGUGGAGAUCAAAGAGCACGGGGGCGAUGACUUCUCCUUUACGCUCAAGGAGGGCCCGACCGGCACCUGGACGCUCGACACCAAGGCCCCGCUCAAGUACCCCCUUUGCAUCCGCUUUGCUGUCAAGUCCGGUGGCUACCGCAUCGCUGACGACGUCAUCCCCGCUGAUUUCAAGGCCGGCACCACCUAUAAGACCACACUCAGCAUCUAAUCAGCCUCUGAUGAUGAAUUAUAUUUCAAAAGAGCUCACCUGGUGCUCAUGUUAGCAAGACAAUAUUUUUUCUAUGGUUAUUUUGUGGCACCAAACCACCCAAGAAAUAUGUGAUGCUACAUGUCCCUUCUGAUGCCUUGUUGUGUUGGGUUGAUAUUAUUACAUAAACUAAAUAAAUUAUUUAUUUAAGAUUUUAGGAGAAAUAUGUUGAUAUGGUCUACCUCCAAUUAAUCAGCUAAGGGCAUCCCAUUCAACCCUCAUGAUUGUACUGUUAUCCCAGGCGGUCUCUCAACGAACAUGUCCUUAUGGAGAGGUACUCGGAAAACAUCCUGAUCCACCUAAAAUACCACAAGUUCAUAAUCAUAAUCAUAAUGAAUCAUAGUACCAUAAAUUAAUUCUCAUCAUGUUCAUUGACUAGGGUAAAGCACUAGCAUGUAGCUGAUUAUAAUAACCCAACCCAAAAAGGUAAUCAAGGACAGGAUAAAUAGAAAGCUAGUCAAUCCUUAGGUUAUUUAUAGUAUGCAGGACAGUGAAUUAUAAAGUAAAUAAGACAUAAAAGGUCAGAUGACACUUGCCUUCACCAAACUGUUGAUGCUCAGGGCUUCUCCUGCAAGUUCCUCCGACAACGCAGACAGAACGUUAUCUAUGCGAGUGCGAACACACAUUCAACAUUCUUGUAAUAGAAAGGAACAGUACACCAUACAAGGGAACACAUUAUAAACACGUGCAAUACAAAAUGGCGUUCGUUUCUACGGUCACACCAGAAAAAAGAAACGCCAAGAUCGAAGCUACGAUUGAGAAGUUAUUGUGUCUACGUUGUACAAAUAUGAAAUAGAACAUUUAAUUCGACAUACUUGCAUUAAUCGGCAUUUAUUAAAUGUAAACUAGAACUAUCGCCUAAUUUUAAUUAAUUCUCGUUACACAAGCAGCUCUCGGUUAAUUAAACAAUUUAAAUUAUAUUAGAGACUCUAAGUGAGACGAAUUAAUGAUGCGAGAUAAAGUACACAACGCGCGAAACAACACGUCAGCACGCGCACGGCGUGCGGACCAACACGACACGCGAGGGCAAUUAUUAAUAAAGAAUAUUUCGAUUAAGGUUAACCAUGUUAUCGUUUAUUUAUAAAUGCGCAAAUCAAGACCCUAAUUUAGAUUUUAAAUUAGUAAGCUACAUUAUUAACCAUCGGUCAAACAAACAUUUAAAUAAAUUAAAUAAAUAUGUAAAAAAGCAGAGAAUAAUGGUACUAACAUGUAGAUAAUUUUAAUACGAAUCUAACGCGACUUGAACGGAGUGAAUCGGAUUUAAAACGCAAAAGAUAUCGCGAUUUUAAAUUGAAAAUCCUAUCUGCAUGCAGUUGUAAAAUUCCAAUGGGGUUUUUCGCAAAAAGACCAUCUUCUUCCUCCCUCCAUCAUCUUCUCUCACCAUGGCAAGGAAGGGGAGGAGGGACGGGGGCCGUGCAAGGCGGGGGGGAAGGAAGGGAGAAGAGGAAGGUGCUGCGCGGGGGAGACAGAAACGAAGAAUUUCCAUACACAACAAUAGUGGAGGGCUCACCGGAGAAGACGACCUCGCCAGAGCCGAGGGCAAAUUUGGUGAUUGACGACGAACCGUCGGUUAGAUCGACGAAUCGAAGGCACCAGGACGAAGAUCUCGACGAGACGAACACUGCGGUACCCUCAGAUUCCACCGACGACAAAAGUAAUUGCUCACCGAAAUUGUCGUCGUCUUGAACUUCAGCGAGCAAUUUCGGGAGUUUUAGAUCUAAGCUGGGAACGAGUUUCGAAAUUCGAAAAGAGCUCGACGAGAGUAUUUCAGCCAUAUAUAUUUCUAGGGUUUGAAUAAAUUUUAUUUUUCAUAAUUAUCCCAUUUUUAAAAUUACAGAUAAUUCCAGAAAAAAAGCUGAAAUCAUUUUUAAUGCUCGAAAAAAAUCUCGAUGGUUCUAAAAUUUCUAGGAAAAUUCCUAGACAUGUUUUGGCACCCAAUAAACUCAAAAACCAUAUUUAGCACUUUUGAAAAUAUUUUAAGUAACUCAAAUAAAUGUAUUUUUAAUUUCAGAAAAUAGAAAAAUAUUCAUAAAAUUAUGAAAAUUUACGGGAAACUUCUAUAAGUCAUAUGAACAUGUUUCAAAGACUUCUUGCACUUAGAAACACUAUGCAACAGUAUGAAUGCAACAACCAUUACACUUCUAGAGCCCACGGCAACAUAGAACAAAAUAACUCUCUAUUGUUUUAAUAAAGGGAAAAGAAAAGCGAAGAAAGGAAAGGGUAACACCUGAAUUUUGAGUAUAGAGCAAAGAAAAUCUUAUUCGCCAAAAUUCAGGGUGUUACAGACCUAUCCCCAUUAAAAGAAUCUCGCCCCGAGAUUCAACGUCGGCAGCAAAGAGUAUAGGAUACUUGGCUUUCAGAUCAUCUGCACGUUCCCAUGUUGCUUCUUCUUCAGAGUGGUGACCCCAUAUGACUUUGCAAAUUCUGAUGGUAUUCUCUAGUUGACUCUGUCUGCUGUCUCCAGAAUCUGUGUUGGUUUCUCCUCAUAUGUCAGGUCUUCUUGGACUUCCAGUCCUUCCAUUGGCAACUGCUCUUUGGGUACUCGCAAACACUUUCGGUCCACUCAUCUUGCGCUUUCGGUCUUCCAUCUCCUUGCGCUUUCGAAACAGUCACGAUUGCUCUGUCAAUCAGAUGUUGGAAGGUAGGGAAGGUAUGAUUCAUUAGUUGGUAAUGCAGGGGAUCAACCAAUCCUCUCAGGAAUUGGUACUGCCUCUUUACAUGGGUGUUGACAUCUUCAGGUGCAUAGCAAGACAACUGUAGAAAUUUGUCUCGGUACAUACUGACGAACAUGGGUCCCAGCUUCAGUGCCAGGAGCUCCUCCUUCUUCACUAUCAUAAGGCCCUCUGGAACAUGAUAUCAGUGGAAAUUUUCUCUAAAUUCCUCCCAAGUGAUAGCUUCAGGGUCGGCAUGGGUGGUGAGGUAGGACUCCCACCAGGACUAAGCUGCUCCCCUUAGCAGGCGAGGACCAUAUAGAACCUUCUCUCUGUCAUUACAUUGGGCGGUGUGCAGCUCCCGCUCCACCGUGUGCAGCCAGUAUUUGGCGUCCAUGGGGUCGGAAGAGUGGGCAAAGAGAUGGGGAUGACCUCUCAUGAGCUUCGCACGCUUGUCCCUUGGCAUCUAAGGCAUCUGCAUCUAUGGUUGAGGUUGAGGUUGCUGUUGUGCUUGCUGCAUAGCUGCUAGAGUCUGCCCAAUUGCUUGCACUGCUUGGGUGUGCAUGAAGAACAUCUGCUCCACUGUCAUUGGGGUGGCGAUGGAGGCAACUGAUAGGGUGCCUCAUCUUGUGGGGUAGGCUACUCCUGCUGAGUAUGCCUCCCUCCUUAGUGCCUGUUGUCAAACAUUUGUGGAAGGCAUUCACACAUCAGAACUGAGCUUGCAAUCUUUUAGCAUAAGAAAAGGCAUACAUAGAUCUUCACAACACUGAAUGAACAAACAUCUUCACUGAUUCUCAACACAGCCAAACACAACUUCUCACAUAAAGAGGAAAGUAUAAUGAAAAGGUUUCCCAACUAAAUAACUAACUUUACUAACACUGUAACUAAACCAAACUGCAGGGAACACCCACAUUUUUGUGAUAGUCAUUACAAAUAUCCAAAUCCAUCACAGGUUCACCAUGACAAGCAUAAAACGUAGGAUGAGAAAACUAUCCUGACUAACUAAGACUAAAUAAGAGUAAGACACUUGACUUACGAAUUUAUCACAAACUUUGAUGCUAGUGGUCUAAUGAUCCAAAUCUAUCUUGGUUCUGCAGUCGGGAGUGUCAUAAGCAUGGUACCCUCGUGUCGGUGAGCGGUAUGGGUGUUAAGUCCUAGCGGGGGCGGGAGAACCAUACUCUUAGUGAUGGUGCUCCGCAUGCUGAACCCGCAACUCCACGAUCUCAGCACGAGCCCUACUAAACUUAUCAAGAGUGUGGUCCAGCUCGGUGUUGAGCACAGCGACUAGUUUGACUAUACUGUUCAACCUAGGAUUUCCUUCACCUAUAGGUGAUACAAUCACACUUCCAGUACUGCUAGUCGAGUGACGGGGUUAGUACUUCAGGUUAAGACUGCCAGCCACCCCGCUGAACAAUGAGCAGUACUGCGAAAGUGCAUGUCGUGCAGCAUCCUGCAUGGUUGCCUCUACAGUGUCCCUCUCAGGGAUAGAAUAGUGCUCUGAGCAGACCUCUGCACCCUAGAGGUCAUCCUCUGAAUGACACACCAAAUAGGUAGUCUCCCAACAGUCCGGGUACAUCCCGUGACUAUGCUGGUAGACUACACAAUGGUACUCGAUCGACCAGGUGUGUCGGUCCAUAGCCCAGCGCAACAAAGUGUCGAGUGCGUCGUGAAAGUGACAACCACGAGCGGCGUCACGAGUGAUGGAUCCGACGAUCUAUCCUUCUGGCUCCUGCUCCUCAGAAAGCACGGUGAUGUGGCUUGAGCUGCCACCAUCGUCGUCUCCAUCAGGAUCUCCUUCAGCAGCUCCUCCAACAGCUGGGACGCCCUGUUGUGGUGCCGGGGGUGCCUCCAACGGGGGCACAGGGGAGAGAUGCCUCACAGACUCCACCUCCUGCUAUGGCGGGGAAGAAGAAUCCUGCUGCUCCCUCUCCUGUUACCGACCUUCCUGCUCUUCAAGCAGGAGAUGGUGCAGCCUCUCCAAGUGACUUGACUGACCGGUCACUGUGCGGCGAAGCGAACACUCUGUGGGGUAUAGAUAUCGUCGGGUCCACUAGACGGCGAAAGGUCCUUGCAUGAGGCCUCGGGCUAGUUACCCCGUAAGACCAUCUCUUCGUGGGCUAGGCAAAAACUACUGGUGGAAUGGGCCGGUCCAAGAAGGUGAUGGACUCGGGUCUAGAUGGUCCGUCAAAUCGUGCGCUACCCCAAGAAACCGCUCGACUUUCCUGCGCCUGGCAGCCUCUAAUGUCGGGCGGAUCAGGGAUGAGUCGGCGGGAUUUUCGGGAGAUUGGUUCAGUCGGUUCACUAUUAGUUAGGAGAUACGUGAUCAUCAUGUACGUAUGGAGUGCCCCACGGUCGUGUAUAUAAGGCCUAGGGGGAACCCCAUUAUUUUCAUCCUAUCUAUCUAUCUCAUUAGCCUCUCUCCAUUCAGGAGACACCACUUGUAACACACCACAUACAGAUCCACCACAGGAAGUAGGGUAUUACGCCUCUCAAAGCGGCCCGAACCUGCAGAAAAUCGCAUGUCUCUCUCUUUCAUGCUCCCAGCAUGAACCAUUGAGCUACAAUCAACAACACCAUCCUACCCAAAAGCACCGCAACGGUAACCCUGGGUGUGCGGUCGGACACUAAACACUGACAGCUGGCGCGCUAGGUAUGGGUGUGUCGUUGAUCAGAGCUAGCUCAAUGGCCAUCACCUCCAAGUGCAAGAUCGCCCUUCGCCCCAGAACUAUGUUCUGCUUUGGAACCAUCUCAUGCAUAGAGGAUGAAGAGGGAACUCUGCACCACGUAGCGGAUCCGCCUGAGAAAAAGCUUUCCUCAGGAACCCCGAGAGAAGCCAAAGCAAAGCAGAGGGUGGCUCCACCAUUCGUAGCUCGGGGGAAGAUGAUCCCUUACAAACCGAGGGUCAGAAACCCUUGGGAGAAGAAAGAUAGACCGGUCAGGGUCUCGGCUAUUCGAAAAACUUCGUUGUCCACCUUGCCCACAAAGGACUGGACAUGGAUCACUCGAAAGAAAGAAGCAAAUGUCCCGAGUCAGGGGACGAGAACACGACGAGCCAUCCUUCUGAUACCUUCACCCUCAAAGGAGGACGGAAAAAAGAGCACCAUUGCGUCAGCUCCCUUCUACCCCGAUCUCCUCUUCAUCAUGGGGAGAGUGGAGUUCGCACCCAUCUUUGACAAUGAGCCUACCAUGCAAGGGGAAGAACCUCCCCAGCGUGAAGCACGGCGAUAGAGGAACAAAUGCUGGAACGUACGGCGACAUCAUGAAGCCGGGGGACAGGAUCUGGCGCAGCUCGUUUCAAGAGACGAAGCCUCAGAGAUGGGAGAGACUCACGAUGAACGAAUGCAAUGAGAAAGGCCUAACUCUCGCCGCCGCAAUCGCCGACAAGCUCAAGAUCGAGAGCGAGAGCAAACCGAAUAAGCCGCUAGGCUACGGCGAGAGAAUCCUCUCUUCGCUCGGAACAUGUACCCCGACUUUUGUCGUGCAAUGAACACGCCAAGUGAGGUCGGAGGGGUACUGGCGCAGAUAGCUGACGAUCUCUCGUGAACCCCAGAUACGAAAGGCUACCGGCGGCUACUUACUCAGGUAGCCAAUCACCUUCUACCCCUCACUCAUCCUGCGAAUGACCUACGUCACACCAUCAACAGCCGGCGAGACACGCGGAGCUCCAUCAACGCUUCGCGCGACCGACGGCAUGAAAACGAGAUAAGGCGCUGGGAGGAGUACGAUCGAGAUCACGGUGUACCAGCUCGGAGUUGCACCACCCGAGUUGAGUCGGCUGCAGCCUCAACUAGUGGGCCGUUCCAGGGAUGAUCGAGACGACAUACUACCGACUCCCCUCCUCGGGACCGACAACACGAACAUUGACAGGAAGACAUGUGCAGAGUCUCCGCGCUUACUCCGUGUCUCCGGGCCAUCCAGUGGCCCCCAACUUCAAGGUCUCCAACGUCGACAAGUACGAGCCUAAGCAGGAUUUAGGCGGCUGGUUGGCUGUCUACAUGACUGCUGCCCGAGCCGCCAGGGCAACAGAGGACGUGAUGACGGCGUACUUGCCCAUUGUCCUGGGGCAAGACGCACUGCAGUAGCUCCGACAUCUACCCUGGCACUGCAUCGACGAUUGGAGUGACUUUAGUCAUCGCUUCAUCGCCAAUUUCCAGUCCCUCUCCGACACAACCAUGGGACCUCAAAUCCAUCAGGCGCCAGAACAAUGAAACCCUCCGAUCAUUCCUCAAGAGGUUUCAGACAAUGAGGAACCGCAUCCCCGAAGUUGCCGACACGGCGGUAAUUGAAGACUUUUACCGGGGAUCCAACGACUCGGCCUUUGUCUGAGCCAUACUCUAGAAAGCACCUGCCACCUCUGAACAAUUGUUUCGGGAGGUGGACAUUUGCAUCACCGCGGAUGAGUGAGCCCAGGACCUCAUCGGGGGCACGAAAUCUGCGCCACCCGCGCUGCGGUGAGAUGUGAACCAGUAGCCGGACAGGCGCUGGGAGAAGAGGCCCCACGAGGAGGUGCACACCGCUGGGCCAUCUGCCGCUCGGGCCCGCGGCACACUCCGCAGAGGGGUACGAAAACUGGAUGAAAUCCUCGACGCCCAGUGUCCGCACCACAAGGACAUGCGCCACACCCUAUGAAACUACAGGGACUUCAAGCACUCCGUCGGGCAUGGCCGACCAUUCUAGCCUCUACCGCCUCCAUCGCCACGAGGAGAGCCUGGCAAGCCCAGGCAGCCUCAGCAGCAGGAAGGGGGGAGGGGUGGAGCUUUCCCAUGCGUUGACAGGGAGGUCAACGUCAUCUUCGGAGGUCACGGAGCAUAAGAAAACAGGAGGCAGCAAAAGUUCAACGACCGGCAGGUCCUAGUGGCCACCACCAGUACCCUAGCUCCUUACUAGGAGUUAGAGCACGCGAUAACCUCCAGCCGAGCUGAUCAAUGGCUCAACUUUGAUCAUCCCGGUAAGUACCCGCUUCUCGUUGAUCCAGUGAUCCAAGAGAGCCGAGUAAAGAAAGUAUUAGUGGACGAGGGAAGCAUCAUCAACUUCACCUUCCCCCGGACGCUCUAGGCCCUGAGGGUUGCAGUCAAAGACCUCACUGAGUCAGAUACUCCUUUCUUCGGCAUCAUGCCGACUGAAGGGGAGUACCCACUCAGACACAUCUACUUGUCCGUCACCUUUGGAACCCCAGAGAACUACAAAACCGAGUUCCUGAGGUUCGAGGUGGCGCGUUUCGACUACGGGUACAACACCAUCAUUGGAAGGCCAGGACUAGCAAAGUUCAUGGCCAUUCCACAUUACCCGUACAUGAUACUGAAGAUGCCAGGACCUCAGGGAGUCAUCACCAUGCGCGCUGAUUUCCAAGGCGCCGUAGAGUGCUUCCGGGGAGCCCUUCAAACAGCUCUUACCACCGGGCCUUCGGUAGUUCUUCCCGCACAGGCGAACAACAAGCUGGAGGAGGAAAAUCUCAUAAUACCUGCUAACAAAGCUCAGGCCAGGACCUCUAUACGGCCAUCUAAAGAAACUAAGAGGAUUAAUCUGGGAUUCUCUGAUGAACGCAAGACUGCCAUCAUCAGCUGCAGCCUCAAUGACAAAUAGGAAAGCACGCUCGUCCGGUUCCUGCAAGAUAACCGGAAUGUAUUUGCAUGGCAACCUGUGGAUAUUCUGGGAGUCCCAAGAGAACUGGCCGAGCACACUCAAAGUGUAUCCACAGGCCAGGCCGAUUCGAUAGAAGCUACGUCGUUUCACGCCUGAUAAAAGGGAAGCUAUUCUCGCCAAGUUAGCUCGCUUAGUGUCAGUAGGAUUCAUUAGAGAAGUACUACACCCUGAGUGACUAGCAAAUCAUGUUCUUGUACUAAAAAAGAAUAAAGUUGAUUGGCACAUGUGCGUUGACUAUACUGAUCUCAACAAACAUUGCCCAAAGGAUCCCUUCGGGCUCCCUAGGAUAGAUCAGGUAGUUGACUUGAUCGAUGGCUGCUCUAUGCUCUCCUUCCUAGAUUGCUACUCCGGGUAUCAUCAGGUCAGCUUGGCAAAAGAAUACGAGGAGAAGACUUCUUUCAUCACACCAUUCAGAGCUUUCUGCUAUACCUCCAUGUCGUUCGGCCUCAAGAACGCUGAAGCAACUUACCAGAGAGCCAUCCAAACAUGCUUAGCCAAUCACUGGGGCAAGCGAUUGGAAGCUUACGUUGUUGAUGUAGUUAUCAAGAUAGAAAACUUCAUCGAGGAUUUGCAACUGGUCUUCAACAGUCUGAGGCACUACCGGUGGAAGCUAAACCCAAAAAAGUGUGUCUUUGGAGUGCCAGCCGGAAAGCUGCUUGGAUUAUUUGUCAGUCAUCGAGGAAUAGAAGCAAAUCCGGAGAAGAUUGAGGCGAUCAUGAGAAUGGAAGCGCCGCGGUCACAGAAAAAGGUGCAAAGGCUCACUGGGUGCAUGUCAGCGCUAAGCAGGUUCAUAUCAAGGCUAGGCGAGAAAGGAAUGCCAUUCUAUAAAUUGCUCAAGAAGGUGGACAAGUUUCAGUGGACCACAGAAGCAUAGGAGGCUCUAGAGGCACUGAAGAAGUUCUUGACACUCCACCAAUACUCAAGCCACCACGCCGAGCUACGCCCUGUCAACCGGCAGAAGAUCUGCUCUGUAUAUGUAACACCCCUGGUGUUACUAGCACUAAAACUUGAGCAUAACAUCAUGUGCAUUGACAUUUCAUAUUGCUUUUUUCACCUAGAAUGCAUUUACCAUGUAGAAAUUUCAAAUAAGUUCUGGUGAUGUGGCUUGAAGUAUGGUUAACCCUAGGGUAGGGUAUUAAACCCUGAGUUAGGACUUAUGGAGGUAAGUGAAGCCCAAAUAAGUUAAAACCUCAAAGGACAUGAGAAAUGGUCAUAAGGUAUCACAUGUGAUGGACCUUGGUGGCACCAAAACCCUAAUGUGCCUAAAACCCUAAAAACAAACCCUAGAAACCCAAAUUGAAACCCUAGGGGGUUAAGUGUAAAUUUUGUGCACUUUUGGACCAAAGUGCAAACAUCAAAGUACUAGAACAUUAAAAAUCAAGUACUUUUAAUUUUUUAGGAUUUCCAAGUCAAAUGAUGAAGUUUGGACUUAUUUGCAGAAAGUACCCCAUGAACCUCAUAUGCUUAAAUCUGAAUUCAGUUGAAUGGGGUCAACUUUUGAGCUCUAUAUCUCAGAAUUCUUGGGGAUUUUGCUCUUGGUCAAUGUAGCAAACUUGUAGAGCUAUGUAAGGAGAACAAAUUUUAUUAAGUAACUAAGCCCUAGUGCUACAUGAAAGUGGGAGAAAAACAGACCUGAAGUUGGUCUGUCAGUCGAGUACAGCUCUGAAACUGGACUGACAAUAAACUAGGACCAAGUUUGAGGGCUAUUUCAAGUGUGAUUUAGUGAGAAUUGAAGUAUGGUGGCUAUAGCAAGAUUAGAGCUGGAUUAUAGGACCACAACUUUGCUAAAGGUGGAUUAGCACGUUAUCACAUGAAAAUUGGAGAUCUGGGCGCUGCAAACUGCUUUGUCAGGCGCUCUGAAUGUCGUUCUGAUGGUAUAGUGCCACAGAAAGAUCUCAGGUUCAGUCCCCCUAGCCGCCGGUGACCUCUGCGCAAGGAUUCGUGCUGAUCGCAGCGAUUCAUGCUGGACUCGGGCAGGAUAGUGCCGGGAGGGUGAAAAGAUCAGAAGGGGAGCGGAUUUGGUCGCGUGGUGAAGCUUAUCAACCGCGCCUGUAGCCGUGCAACGUGUCUAGACCACCGGUGUAAUUGUGGAAACUCCAGCGACCUCAAUUAUGCCACGCCGUGGCUCUUUACUGCGCGGUAGUAACCAUGGCACGCCUAGGCUUACCAUCUCUGAACUGCUGCACCGGUGAACGCGACGACUAAGCCACCAGUGACCUUCUUCCUCUCCGGCCGCCAGCACGCCAUGCCAAAAUUAGGAGCCACCGCCCUUGGAAACUAUAAAUUGGUGCCCCAGCCUACUCCGCUAAGUAAUUGUGCACCCAGUGAACUAGUCCUCGCCUCCAAUCGUCCCUCACAACUCCCCAAUUUGGGAUUUUCCCCAAAUCAGUCAAAACUCCGCCAUGAGUGAGCUCAUCGUGGCUAGCUCUCUAUAGGUCUGUUCACGUCCUCCUCACUCUCGUUUCAACAUCCCUGUGUGCUAUAGAUUCUUAGCAGCCCGACCAAUUGAACUAGACCGCGCUAGAUUGCUGGGAACACCUCGGUUCAUCCAUAGUUCGCGCCAUCAUCGUGGACAGAGAGAUUAGGAGCUAGAACCUUGCAAUUGAUUGAGGGGUAAUGAUCAUUAGGGGUUGAAUUAGGUGUCAGCCACACCGGAGCGCCGGUCGUUGCGUUUUCCGGCCAGUACUGGCUCGCCGGACCAACUGCUCCACCGUCCAUGGUCGAGGGUCUCGACGUGUGAAGAAAUAGAAAAGGGAAGGGGCUAUCUGCAAAUGUCAGUGACACAUAGGAAUAGUGCGCAGGAGUCUUCACGAGUUAUUUAAAAGAGCAAGGUCCUCUGCGCAAAGUGGACACCGCGGGCGCGCGCGGGCGCGCUUUCGCCUGUGCGUGGGCCGGCUUGGGCUAGUUUCAGCCCAGUACUAUGCACCUUUUUCAUUUUUCUUUUUCUACCAGACUUAGGAAAUUCAUAGGAAAUCAUAGAAAAAUGGUAAAAAUAUGAGACCAAUUUUUGUGGAUUCCUAAAUUUCUCUAGUAAUUAAUAAAAAUAGUUCCAAGAUUUUUAGCCCAAACCAGGAAUUAUUUAGUACUUAAAAGGGGCCAAAACCUAUACUUUUGGAAUUUUAGAAAUUAUUUAAUACCUCCAAAAAUCACCAAACUUUUUGGAUAAGCCUAAUAUGAUAUUUAGAUCCCAUGAGUGAAGUUUGACUUGCUUUGUACAUUGUUUGAUGCCUAAACCAAAAACCCUAGCUCCUUAGGGUAAAACUGUCUAACCCUACUAGGGUAUUGACCUAGAAGACCAUAGUUUCCCUCGUACAACGUGAAGGAAAGUUGUAUUCAAGAUACAAACUUGAUGUAUCUCUUCUAUCAUUGCAUUUUCAUAAGAAUUACAUGAGCAUUCAUAGUUAUAUAUGGUUAUGUAUAGAGAACGAGGAAGAAAUAACUGUUGAAGAAGAGGAGGCUGCUCCAUCAACAGAAAAUCCACCUGCCGGGAACUGUUUUUACUUUGACAUCUGUGGAACAGAGCCCGACUCUCCUACAAAACAAGGCAAGCCCAGGUGCAUUUGCCACCUCCUUGCUGUUUUAAAAUCUUUAUCACCUUUUUGAUGCAUUAGGUGAUAGGAGUUGUGUGCUAAACAAUUGAUGCAUUUCCUUCCUUGGAAAAGUGAAUACCCUUCCUUGAUACCCUUUUAUGAAAAGGAUUUUUAUGAUUCUUAGCCUUGCUUUAGAAAAACAUAAUGUUUUGUUUUAAAAACAAAAGGUCAUGCUUCACAGUGGAUGGGAAUGUUUUCAAAAAUAAAACUUGAUGGUGGAUCCAUCAUGGCCAUGAUGGGUUCAACAUCAGAAAAGAUGUACCUCUGCUGGGUACCAAACUUUGGGUUUGAAAUGAUAAAGCUAAGACCGGACGGGUGACUUGCAAGAGAAGAGAGUCUCUGUGUAGUGUCUCCGUCUAAGUCGAUUAAGGACCGUGUCGAUGUAGGCUUGCUGAUUGAGGACCUUUUAACUGGUCACAUGCCUCAUCAUGGGUAAGCUUUCCCUCGGGCAGACUAAUACCAGAAAGGCCAACACGCAAUGGGAGUGGAGAGAUGGCGAGAGUAGUGUGUACCCUCCGUGGCAAGAGGCUGGACGGUGGUGUAUCUGUGCUCUCGGUUGGCGUGAACCCGGUCUGGUCUUAAGAACCCCGGUGGCGAGUUGACAUAUGCAAGGGUUAAGUGCUACAUAUGUCGUGUGAUUGGAGAUCCCCAGCUGUGUAUUAAUCGAUUCGGAUCACCGUUACUUCUCAGACAUGAAGACUUGGUCACUGCCCUACAUGUAGCAUUCCAGUGAACUAAAAAGGGUUGAUAAAAGGAUGGCUAGUAUAGGCCAAGUGCUUGAACUAGGGUAGAAAGAACUCUAGUGACAGGUAAUGACUUAACUUGCUAAUAAAACUGGAUUUUAAGGAUCCACUAUUAGUAAGCAUUUUUUGCAAACAGAGUCUUGAUUCUUGGUUAAGCCUUACCUUGACUUCCUUAAGCCAGCAUAUCCUUGAGAGUCUUUUCUUUUGACGGGUAAGACUUGCGAAAGUACACUUUGUACUCAGGGUUUUCGAACCCAUGUUGUUGUAGGUGAGGAAACAACAGACUUUUGCUGUUUUUUCUCUAAGGUGGUGCCCAAGGACGAACCUCAAUAGUGAAGUGGUUGCGGGAGGAUGUUGGCCUCCCUUUUGAAAAACAAUAUACUUUUAUGCUGGAGGGGUUUUUGCCUCCCAAGUCUGUAAUAAUACUUAUGCACUCAUACACCCUGGUUUUGUAAUAACUAUAACACUCUCUCUAUAUUUUGAUGAAUAUAAAUUAAGUUACUGUAAAUCGUUUCCGCUUAUUCGUUCCUCCGAUGUGUUGUAAUAUCUGCGUGACGGGUGAAACGCUCUUGAGCGAGGAAAAGGAUACAGAUACCGAACUUGUCAAGUGAUUAUUUGCAUCUACAGGGUUGUCCAAGGUUCCUUGGACAAGGACAACUAUAGGUGGGCCUAAUGACUUGGGAGGUUCCGUCACAGUAUAUCUCCUGCAUGACUCACGUGGUAAGCACCAUGUUAGUAGUCGAGUGGGCAGAGGAAGGACACACAUACCCGGUAUAACAUCUAGUUUACUUCAUCAGCGAAGUCCUCGGGCCCUCAAAGAUAAGCUAUCCUCAAGUCCAAAAGCUGUUGUACGCGGUACUUCUAACCACUCGCAAGCUCCGACACUACUUUGACAACCACAAAGUCAUAGUAGUCACAGGAUUUCCAUAGGUGAUAUUCUCCAUAACAAAGACGCUAUUGGAAGAAUAGCUAAGUGGGCAUGCAAGCUCAGAGCCUAUGACAUAGAGUUCCGACCCCGCACGGCGAUAAAGACUCAGGCACUGGUUGACUUCAUAUCAAAAUGGACUGAGCACCAGGUCCCGAAAAGCCCAGAGGUCGCUGAAGUAUGGAGAAUGUACUUUGAUGGCUCGCUGAAGCUGCAAGGAGCGGGGGCAGGGAUUCUCUUUAUUGCUCCUGGAGGUGAACAAUUCAAGUAUGCACUCCAGCUUUUGUUUCCGGCAUCCAAUAAUGCAGUAGAGUACGAAGCACUGGUCCACGGGCUGAGCAUCGCGGUUUCACUUGGCAUCAAGAAGUUGAUGGUGUACGGCGAUUCACUAGUAGUCAUAAGUCAAAUAAACAAAGAUUGGGACUUCUCGAUCGACUCAAUGGGCAAAUAUUGUGUAGCCGUGCGAAAGCUGGAAGACAAGUUCAAAGGAUUGGAGUUCACCACGUGGAAAGGGAUCACAAUGCAGUAGCUAAUGCAUUAUCGAAACUGGGGUCCAGUCGGGCCUAAGUUCCACCUGGGAUCUUCGUCCAAGAAAUACAGCAACCAAGCAUCAUCACGGAUCAGAUGGAAGAAUGCAACGCCCUGAGUCAGCUAGAGGCGGAUCCCAAUGACUGGAGAGAGUCGAUCAUCAGGUACAUAAAGAACAAAGAGGAACCGGAUGACGAGUCCAUAGCAGAGCGCAUUGCAAGAUAGUCGGCCCACUAUACCAUCAUAGGGGGCCUGCUGUACAGAAGAGGCACAGGAGGAGUCCUCAUGAAGUGCAUCCAUUCGGCUACCGGGAGACAGCUAUUAGAUGAUAUUCAUGCUGGGAAGUGUGGUGUGCAUGCUGCAUCAAGGACUAUGGUGGGAAAGGCUUUCAGAUUUGGGUUCUAUUGGCCAACUGCAAAGAGGGAUGCCGCCGAGUUAGUCCAGAAGUGCGAGGCGUGCCAAUUCUUGUCAAAACAACAACACUUACCUGUGCAGCAGCUGCUGACCAUUCCUGUGACCUAACUGUUUGCAUGCUGGGGGCUGGACAUGAUUGGGCCUUUCAAGAAAGCUCAAGGAGGGUAUACUCACAUACUGGUUGCCAUCGACAAAUCUACGAAGUGGAUAGAGUACAAGCUGAUAGCUUCCUUGACCUCAGCAAAGGCAGUGGAGUUCAUUCAGUAGAUAAUGUUCAGGUUUGGAAUACCUAAUAGCAUCAUCAUUGACCUAUGAUCUAACUUCACCAGCUCGGAGUUCUUCGAUUUCUGUGAGCAGAGGAGCACUCAGAUCAAGUACGCAUUAGUGGCACACCUAAGAGCUAAUGGGCAGGUGGAAAGAGCCAAUAGAAUGAUACUAGAUGCACUCAGAAAGAAAGUGUUCGAUAAAAGCGAGAAGCUUGCUGGGAAGUAGAUCAGGGAACUACCAUACGUGGUCUGGAGCCUGCGAACCCAGCCAAGCUGAGCCCUGCAUGGAAACACCCCAUUCUUCAUGGUAUAUGGGUCGGAGGUAGUGCUACCUGCCGAUCUGAUCUUUGGGGCACCCAGGUUGACCUUUGAAAGCAUAGCUGAGGCAGAAGCAACCAGGCUAGAGGACAUCGACGUGUUGGAGGAGGAGCGAUUAAAUAUGGUAAUUCAGUCGGCCAGAUACCAGCAGACCUUGAAGCGCUACCAUGACAAAGCUAUGCGACAUUGAUCCUUCACAGUGGGAGACUUGCUCCUCCACCAGGUACUAACGGGGGAGGGAUGACACAAACUGUCACCACCAUGGGAAGGACCGUUCAUCGUGGCAGAGGUCACACGACCGGGAUCCUACCGGCUUACUCAAAUGGAUGGCACCGAAGUGGGGAACUCAUGGAAUAUCGAGCACCUCAGAAAAUUCUACCCCAAGCAAUACCUCAAAACUCUUGAGGGCGAGUUGUACUCUGUAAUCAGAAGAUUCCUUCGUCAAUGAAGCUUUCAUCUUCCAAGGCAUUCAAAUUCUUGAUUGACAACUGACUUAGAUUGGGCUCAACUCGAAAACAACAUAACGUGACUUAGGGUGAUCACUAUGCCCUAUUAACGGAGCAAUCGGCUUAAGUCGGAAACGCCUUAAGUCGGUGCGACAUGCUCACGCUUACAUGACUUAGGGUGAUCAUUAUACCCUAAUAACGGAGCAAUCGGCUUAAGUCGGAAAUACCUUAAGUCGGUGCGACAUGCUCACGCUUACUUGACUUAAGGUGAUCACUAUGCCCUACUAACGGAGCAAUCGGCUUAAGUCGGAAAUGCCUUAAGUCUGUGCGACAUGUUCACGCUUACAUGACUGAGGGUGAUCACUAUACCCUACUAACAGAGCAAUCGGCUUAAGUCGGAAAUGCCUUAAGUCGGUGCGACAUGCUCACGCUUACACAACUCAGGGUGAUCACUAUACCCUACUAACAGAGCAAUCGGCUUAAGUCGGAAACGCCUUAAGUCGGUGUGAUAAGCUCAUGCGUACGCAGGCAAGGGUGAUCACUAUUCCCUAGUAACAAAAUAGCUAACUCAAAUCAGGAGUAUUUCGAGAAAGAAAUAACUCACGCGCAUUGUCAAGGGUGUUUUUAGCACCCUGCUGAUGGAGCAAUAAGUUCAAACAUAGCAAUUACAUACACACAGAAUUCACAUUACAUUUUUCUGUAAAAAGUACUAACUCAAUGAGCAAGUGUUUUCAAGCAAAUCAUUGUGUUGAAGCAUUCUUGCAGGAAGCCUCGACUGCAGGAGUAGCGGAAGAAGAUGGUCGACUCAUGACAUCAGGUGCAGCAACAACAUCAGCGACAAUGUCUUCAGGCACCAUCCCCCCGGUGCGAACAGCCUUAUCCAUGGCCUUGUCGCACAUCGCCUUCAUAACGACGCAGUCGUCCUCCAAGGCCUUGAUAUGGAGGCGAGCGGCCUCCAGCUCCUGAGUAACAAGCUUCUUGGAAGCGCGUAGCUCCUUGAUGACAAAAUCUUUGGUAGACAACAACUUGCCAAGUCGAGACACUUCAUCCUGGGAUGCCCUCAAUUCAUCGCGAUGAUGGUCCAAGUCCGACAUGGUAAAACAGUGACUCCUCUCCAGAAUGGUUAAGGAAGUGUUGGCAUCACGGUAUAGCCUAUCCAGAUUGUCACGAGAAGCAACGAGUGCUCGUUUUUUCUCGUGUAAGCAAGAACAACACUGAGCAUCGAAGCAAGGAAAGAAAGAUAGAAGCAGCCAAGAGAGUUUACCUCACAUGUCAUCUUCUCGAAGUCAAGUUGUGCAUUCAGAGAAGAGUUUAAGGAGCGAGCACUGUCCAAGAAAGCAGAGGUUUGGCUCAAGUUGGCCUGACUCUAGGUAUACUUCUCUUCAGUAUCAGAGCAUCGCCGAGCCAAAGCUGAUAAAGCAGCAGAGAAAAGCACAACAUAUAAGAUAAGCAGAGCAAUGAAAGCGAAAAAGGAAACUAUGAGCUCACUAACCAAUGUUUGAUGCCUUCAGGUCAUCUAUCUAUUUUUUGAAGCAGUAGAGGGUUCCACUGCAUCAAGGAUGAAACUUGGUCGGGGACAGGAGCGCCACAGGAUUUCAGUUGGGCAGAUACGGAACCAAGAACAUCCUAUGAUUAUGAAAAGAUAAGCAAAAAAAAACUAGUUUGCCAGUGUGAAUGGUAAAAAGCAAAAUUUGAUUCACCUGAAGAUUGGAGAGGAACAAAGGAAGGCCCAUAGUAGAAAGAAUUGAUACAUUGCUUGAUGAGGGGAUGUCAACGGGAAUGAUGUCGAAGGCACCACUUGGAGGAACCUCAGCCUCGUCAACAGGUGGCAGACUCCUGGCGUCUGGGUCACUGGCCUCUAAAGUGACCAGACCAGCAAGAGCAGCAGAUAAGUGUGUCAACACGGCGUCCUCAGAUUGGACCGGUGGCGAUCCAGCGUGGACGUCCAUGGAAGCAGUAGAAAGGGAGCCUGCCCCAACUCCCUCGGGGGCUGGGUCGCUCCCAACACCACCCUCGGGGGCUGGGCCCUCCGUAGCAGCCACUCCCAAGGUGUGUCGCCCAGAAUUUUCAAAGAUUUUCUGAACAAGUGAUAUCCACGAAAUAUACGCAAUGAAUGUACCACGAAAAAAGGAGGAGAUCGGCUGAGACGGGAGGAAGUAUAAAUGUGGUUACUGAAGCGCAAGUCUAAUCAACAGAAGCAUUGAAACACAGAGCAGGGUGAUGUCCAACUGAGGACCAUCUGCCUCAACUAGCGAGACGUCCAAUCUGUCACCGAUCAAAUUGAUUUCAGACCUAACAAGGCAUGGACAGAUGGCAUCGUCUGGAUAUUCAAAAAAUGUUGAUUUCAAAAGCAUAAGAUGAAGACCUUUGAAUGGAUUAUUUCUAAAAUCCACUCAAAGCUCGGGGACUACACCCAUUGGGUGCACCUUCGGUGCACCCAAAAAAUCUACAGUGGCUCGAUGCUAAAAUGUUGAUUUCAAAAGCAUAAGAAAUAUCUUUGAAUGGAUUAUUUCUAAAAUCCACUCACCCAAAAGCAAAACAGAAAUCAGGCUAUACAACAAACCCAUAGGCCGGACCAAGAAUCUUUGGGCCGAUUAUUUCAAAAUCAACUCAAAGAUUGGGGCCUUGUGGGGGAUAGAUAUCCCCCGGGUCCACUAAAAGGCGAAAGGUCCUUGCGUGAGGCCUCGGGCCAGUUACCCCGCAAGACCAUAUCUUCAUGGGCCGGGCAAAAACUACUGGCGGAAUGGGCCAGUCCAAGAAGGCGAUGGACUUGGGUCCAGAUGGUCCAUCGAAUCGUGCGCUACCCCAAGAAACCACCUGACUUUCUCGCGUCUGGCACCCUCUAAUGUCGGGCUAAUCAGGGAUGAGUUGGUGGGAUUUUCGGGAGAUUGGUUCAGUCGGUUCACUAUUAGUUAGGAGAUACAUGAUCAUCAUGUACAUAUGGAGUGCCCCACGGUCGUCUAUAUAAGGCCCAGGGGGAACCCCAUCAUUUUCAUCCUAUCUAUCUAUCUAUCUCAUUAGACUCUCUCCAUUCAGGAGACACCACUUGUAACACACCACAUACAGAUCCACCCCAGGAAGUAGGGUAUUACACCUCUCAAAGCGUCCCAAACCUGCAGAAAAUCGCCUAUCUCUCUCUCGUGCUCCCAGCAUGGACCAUUGAGCUACAAUCAACAACAUCGUCCUACCCAAAAGCACCACAACGGUAACCCUGGGUGUGCGGUCGGACACUAAACACCGACACGCUCCACAAGACGAGAGGGCAGGAAAGGAAUCACUGAUUUGCACAGUAUGUGCCUAAGGCUAGCCAUCCACAAAAGGCACCGUAAGUAUAAGGAUAAGAUUAGAGCUAAUAGGACUAGAAAGUAAACCAUAAAAAUAUUAGGAAACAAAAUAAAAUAAGAUUUAUCAAGGGUUGGUCGAGAUGACCGUCUUUUGAAGUGACACCAAACAUCAAGGUGAGAAUAAGGGUCCAUAAUCCUUAGAACAACCAUUCUACACUAGGUUAGCGGUCCUACAGUCAACAAGGCUUUGAUACCACUUAUGUCACACCCGGUUUUAGAAGGUAAACCGAAUGCAAAUCAUGUACGUGCCAGGAUCAGAAAUUCACGUACACAAUGAUUACCUAAUUUGACAUCAUCACACAAUGCUCAAAUAUUAGCGGAAAUAAGUAUUACUUUAUUACAUUAUGAUGUCCAAAACAUCCACAUAGUCAUUAACUUAAACAUAAAUCAAAGUGCUGAAUGAAACGUAGUAAGAUAAGGCCUUCACAGGCAGCCGAGUGGGGGUGUGCCACUAGUCUAGUUUAGAAUUCCUCGAAGUCUUGAAACUCCUGAAAAUUCUCUGUGUUUCCUUCAUCUUCUCUUGAGCAAUGGUUGCAAUAGGAACAACCUGGUGUUUGGUAUUUAAGCAAGGGUGCGUACACAUCAACAUACUCAGCAAAUGUCUCGUUUAGUUGAAGUGGACUAGCUGUAUGUGGGGUUAAGCUCAAAGCAGUUGCUUUUAGUUGGUCAGGUGUUUAUCAUUAGUCGAAGCCAAGUUUUAUCAUAAAACCCAAGUUGAUAUUCCAAAAGAAAGCACCUCCUUAGAGAGGAAAGUACCAUAUAUCACAAGUAUAGCCAUCAUCUUUAAACCAUCAGCAUAAAUAUUUCCAGAGUAUCUCAAAUCAAAGAGGAUUCGAAGGCUACUCAUAACUAUGAGCAUAGCUAAUAUAUUAGUUUCUAACCCUAUGCAGAGGUUGCACAUUUUACCUACGAGUUGUGACCCCUUUUUGCCUCGGGUUGAUCAAACCCUCAAACACUACCAAGAUGAGUUGGUAAGGUUUCACUAUGUAGCCUUUACAAAGAUUAUCCUGGUGUGUAGCUGCACGUUAGGUUUUGUCUGUCGUACAAACAAAGUACUCCUCCCUACGAUGGGUGACUAACAAAAUCAUGUUCGUUGAUUAGGGUAAAGCACUAGCAUGUAGCUGAUUAUAAUAACCCAACCCAAAAAGGUAAUCAAGGAUAGGAUAAAUCGAAAGCUAGUCAAUCCUCAGGCUAUUCAUAGUAUGCGGACAGUAAAUUAUAAAAUAAAUAGGACAUAAUAGGUCAGAGGAAACUUGCCUUCACUAAACUGUUGCUGCUCAGGAGCUUCUCCUGCAACUUCCUUGGACUCCACGAACAGAACGUUAUCUAAGUGAGUGCGAACACACAUUCAACAUUCUUAAAAUAGAAAGGAAUAGUACACCAUAAAAGGGAAAACAUUAUAAACACGUGCAAUACAAAAUAGUGUUCGCUGCUACGGUCACACGAGAAAAAGAAACUCCGAGAUCGAAGCUGCGAUUGAGAAGUUUUUGCGUAUACGUUGUACAAAUAUAAAAUAGAACAUUUAAUUUGACAUACUUGCAUUAAUCAACAUUUAUUAAAUGUAACCUAGAACUAUCGCCUUAUUUUAAUUAAUUCUCGUUACACUAGCAGCUCUCGGUUAAUUAAACAAUUUAAAUUAUAUUAGCGACUCUUAGCGAGACGAAUUCACGCUACGAGACAAAGUACGCAACGCGCGAAACAACACUGCAGCACGCGCACCAAUACGACAUGCGAGGACUAAUAAAUGGAUAGCAUGUUUAAACUAAACAAUUAUUAAUAAAGAAUAUUUCAGUUAAGGUUAACCAUGUUGGUGUUUAUUUAUAAAUGCGCAAAUUGAAACCCUAAUUUAGAUUUAAAUUAAUAAGCUACUUUAAUAACCAUCGAUCAAACAAACAUUUAAAUAAAAUAUGUAAUAGAAGAGAAUAAUGGUUCUAACAUGUAGAUAAUUUUAAUACAAAUCUAAUGCGACUUGAACGGAGUGAAUCAGAUUUAAAAUGCAAAAGAUAUCGUGAUUUUAAAUUGAAACACCUCUUUGUGCGCAGUUUUAAAAUUCUUAGGAGUUUUUUUUCGCAAAAAUGUCAUCGUCUUCCUCCCUCUAUCCUCUUUUUUCACCAUGGCAAGGAAGGGGACGGGGCCGUGCAGGGGGGAAGGGAAGGGAGAAGAGAGGGAGGGGCUACGCGAGCGAGGGAGAAACAAAGAAAUUCCAUGUACAACAAUGGUGCAGGGCUCACCAGAGAAGACGACCUCCCCGGAGCCGAGGACAAAUUCCCCGAUUAACGACGAACCGUCGGUCAGAUCGACGAAUCCAAGGCACCGGGACAAAGCUCUCGAUGAGACGAAUGUAGUGGUACCCUUGGAUUCCGACAACGAUGCACGAAUCGAAAGUAAUUGCUUGCCGGAGUUGUCGCCGGAGUGAGAACCGUCUCGAACUUUGGCGAGUAAUUUCGGGAGUUUCGGAUCUAAACUGAGGAUGAGGUUUUGAAACUCGGAAAGAGAUCGAUGAGAGGAUUCCAACCAUAUAUAUAUUUCUAGGGGUUGAAGACAUUUUAUUUUUCGUAAUUAUCCCAUUUUUAAAAUUACAAAUAAUUCAAGAAAAAGGCUGAAAUCGUUUUUAAUGCUCGAACAAUAUCUCGAAGGCUCCGAAAAUUCUAGGAAAAUUCUUAGACAUGAUUCGGCACCCAAUGAACUCAAAAAACAUAUUUAGAACUUUUCAAAAUGUUUUUAAGUACCUCAAAUAAAUGGCUUGUGAAUUUCGGAAAAUAAAAGUAUUUAGAAAAAUAUGAAAAUUUAUAGGAAACUUCUACAAGACAUAUGAACAUGUUUCAAACACUUCUUGCACUUAGAAACACUAUGCAACAGCAUGAAUGCAACAACCAUGACACUUCUAGAGCACACGCCAACAUAGAACAAAAUAACUCUCUAUUAUUUUAAUAAAGGGAAAAGAACGAAGAAAAGAAAGUGUAACACCUGAAUUUUGAGUACAGAGUAAAGAAAUUUUUAUACCCCAAAUUCUAGGUGUUACAGUUGUACAUUUGAUUUUUCCAAUGUUUUAAUACUUAUCAAAUGCUUUGUUUGUGUAGCUUCUAUGCCUAGAUUAAUAAAGUUCGUUUUAUAAUUUUUAACACACUGUUCAUGCUCAUUUUUUUGCCAAAAAUAUUAGUCGUAUAACCAUGGAUCUUUAGUGAGAAGCUCCUAUUACUUACCCCAUACAUCUUUCCUUGCUAGAAAUUAGUUUCUUGGAUUUUUGGUGGAUAUUAUUUUUUCAUGAAAAAACAUAGGUGUUAGCCAUUGAUACUGCCGAAAGCGAUCGUUCAUGGCCAUUUUGGCCAAAAAUAAUGGUCGUAUACACAUUAAUCUUUGGUGAGAGGCUUUUAUUACUUAUCCCAUAGAUAUUUUAUUGAAAGAAAACAGUUUCUAGCAAAAGGGCCUCUCGCCUAGUGGUUAAAGGCUCUCGAGUAGCACCUCCAAGUCCUGGGUUCGAUCUCUGUCGUGGGAAAAUUUUUCGGUUUUACUAAAAAAAUCCCCUAACUGUGUCUCAUCUGCUCUCGAGUUAUGAUAUCAUGUGUGCCCCUACAUUUGGCCCAUCAUUUGGACCAUUGCAUAGUGGACAAUUGACACCAAGUCCGUUAGUGAUAGGAAGCCAAGGUUCAGGGAUAUUUUUGGCUGGUACCAGUGUUUCGAUGUGUGCAUCCUUGAGUGUUGGCUCCAGGCAUCCCUCCUCAACCGAGUUUUUCAAAAAUAGUUUCCUCAUUUUUUGUUGUGGCCAUUUCUUUACGAAAAAUCCAUAGCUUUUAGCCUUCGGUAUUUUCGAAAACAUUUGUUCAUGCUCGUUUUCUACCAAAAAAAAUCGGUAGUAUAACCAUGGAUCUUUGGUGACUGUCUCCUAUUACGAUAUUACUUACCCCAUUUAUAUUUUCAUGCUAGAAAUUAGUUUCUUGGAUUUUUGGUGGAUAUCAUGUCUUCAUGAAAAAUACAUAGGAAUUAGCAUUUGGUAGUGUCGAAAACAGUCAUUUUUGGCCAAAAAUAUUGGUCGUGUACUCAUGGAUCUUUGUGAGAGGCUCCUAUUACCUACCCCAUACAUAUUUCCUUGCGAAAAUUUAGUUUCUUGUAUUUUUGGUAGAGACUUUAUUCGUGAAAAAUCCAUAGGUGUUAGUGUUUAGUAUUAUCGAAAACAGACGUUCAAGCCCGUCAUCGGUGUAGUAAAUCCAAAGGACUCAUUGUUUAUGAGAAGAUACUAGCUAGGAAAAUAUUGUCUCGGCUAGGUACAUCCUAGUGACCCAAGAAUAUCUGAGACUCAAUAGAUCUAGACAUCGAAAAAACCUGAAGUUAGUAAACUAGCUAAAAAAUGUGAAACAUGAAAAUCGGCCCAACAUCAAGGGAUGUCCAAAAUCUACACAAGAAAAUGGAUUGAAGAAACAACACAUGCUUGAUUGUCUAGAUUGCCAUGUUUGACAUGUCGGAACCAACAAAAAGUCUAGAAAUCAAAAACCAAAAAGAGAAAAAGGAUUGGAACAAGAGUGAAGGUGAUUUGUUGUUUAUAGUUGACUUUAUUUUAUAAAAAAUUUAAAAAGGGAGUUGAACAAGAGUGAAUGUGAUUUAUUGUUUAUAGUUUUUAAGGGGGUGGAGUGGAACAAGAGCGAAGGUGAUUUGAUGUUUAUACUUUUUUAAAGAUGAUUUGAUGUUAAUAAUUUUUUAUAAGGAAAAAAUAAGUAGAGAACUGAUGAUGACUACAUGCUUUUGCUUUUCUUUUCUUUCAUGAGAGGAGUGCAUGUCAUGCGUUUGUUUUGAACUUUUGCAUGAGAGGAAAAGAGCUAGGACCUACUUAUAGCAAUUGUGUACACGCGUUAGUCUUUGAACUAACUCGCCAGGGUUUUUUCAAGGAACAAAAAUAGGCCAGCCAGCGAUGUCUGUGGUGUGCCAUACGUCAAGGUCUAGAUUCCUUGCCUCCAUCGUCCAUAAAUACAUGCACAUCUGCAACAUCGAUCUCCACACACACACACAUCCAUCAAAUAAACAAGCGCACACGAACAAAUACCUCGCCGCCAAUAAUGGCCUCCAGAUCCUCCAUUGUGCUCGCCACGGCGAUGCUAGCUACACUAUUCGCGGUUGGUUUGUGCACCACCCCGCUCACCUUCCAGGUCGGUAAGGGAUCCAAGCCUGGCCACCUGAUCCUCACCCCGAACGUUGCCACCAUAUCCGACGUGGAGAUCAAAGAGCAUGGUGGCGAUGACUUCUCCUUUACGCUGAAGGAGGGCCCGACCGGCACCUGGACACUCGACACCAAGGCCCCGCUCAAGUACCCCCUUUGCAUCCGCUUUGCUGUCAAGUCUGGUGGCUACCGCAUCGCCGACGACGUCAUCCCCGCCGAUUUCAAGGCUGGCACCACUUAUAAGACGACACUCAGCAUCUAAUCAGCAUCUGAAGAUGAACUAUAUUUCAAAAGAGCUCAUCUGGCGCACGUGUUAGCAAGACAAUUUUUUUCUUUGGUUAUUUUAUGGCACCAAACCACCCAAGAAAUAAGUUAUGCUACAUGUCCAUAUGAUGCCUUGUUGUGUUGGGUUGAUAUUUUUACAUAAACUAAAUACAUUAUUUAUUUAAGAUCUUUGGAGAAAUUUGUUGAUCUGGUCUAGCUUUAUUAUUGAGAUGGUUGUACAUUUGAUUUUCCAAUGUUUUAAUACUUAUGGAAUGCUUUGUUUGUGUUGUUUCUAUGCAUGGAUUAAUAAAGUUCGUUUUAUCAUUUUUCACACACUGUUCAUGCUCAUU